UGCAUCUCAGUUCAAAAACGUCACAUUGUUCCCAACUGUGUACUAUGUAGCAUACGUUCUUAUAAAAGUUCAAUUAUGCUCAAUAAUAGGAUAUGGUUAACAGGGUAAUCUUAUGAGUCCACCCAUAACUACUGUUAUGCCCCAAAAACACUGGAGAUAGAAUUCAUAAGCUAUACCCUGAUAGAUCCAGGACAUGAUUUGUAAGUAACUUGUGUAAUUAGCAUUGAAAUCAAGAAAAAAAGUAAAUUCCUUUCUGAAAAUCAAAACAAACUUGUUAGAAAAAAAAUUAGUACUUUUUUCAAGAUGUUGAAAGGAAAGCAAUUUGAAUUUCAUAUGCCACCACUUGUACAUCACAGGUAAGCAAUGAUUUGAAGGGUGGGGUGGAAGAGCAUGUACAAUACUAAUUUUUGAAUUUAUUGUGCCCAAGAUUUACAUUCUUCGGAAAUAUUUCUCGAAUAAUUAAGUAAUUAAUCAAUUACGUUGGCUACUAAUAUGAAUAAGACUACUUUUUCAAUAUAAAGACCUUUUCAUCCAUAUAUUUUAUGCUUUUUUUUUACUUUAUAAAGAUACGUGUUCCAUUAAAGUACUCAAUAUUCUAUCAAUAAACAACAUUCGUUUAACUCUGACAAAGUAGCCAAAGUUAGAAGUUAGGCACAAAUUUGUCAAAAGUUAAAUUUUGGGAUGAAAGCCACACUUUGUCCUGGCCUCAUUUUCUAGGCGGUGCAAGUUGAUAAUUAGUCUUACAUCAACCUAGUGUAGGCAUACUAAUCAUAAUCGGAAAGAUCAACCUACUGUAGGCAUAAUAAUCAUAAUCGGAAAGAUUAUCUCUUGAAUCCUAUUAAAAUAUGGGAAGGACAUUCUAAUUUCCAUAUAUGUUCAUAAUUGUAGAAACCAAUUUGAAAAUAUCACAUAAGGGAGCCCAAAAACUAGAUAGAUGUUGUAAUUAUAUAAACAGAAAAGUAAUAUGAAGAGAUUGUUCAUACUCACAUUCCAUCUUUGGAGAAAGGAUUUUGAGCAUGAUUACCUCUAAAAUGUCUCCAACAUUGACUGUGAAUGCAUUAGGAAGUGGUACAACAGGAACCCAAGCUCCAGCCUUUUUGAUUUGGAGGCCUUCCACUUCGUUGACUUGAAGUAAUAUGGUAAGCCCAUCAGCAUCAGAGUGGGGGCAAAGGCCCAUCACUAGCUCAGGUUGGGGACAUGGAGGAUAAUAGUUCAUCCUCAUUGAUUGCAUCCCAUCUUCAAAAAGCAUUGCCAUAUCUUCAAGCUUCAUUCCUAAUGCUUUUGUCAUUUUCUCAAGGACCUUGAUGGCAAGGAUUUUCAAUUCCCUUGAGUACUGAUCUAGAGUUUCUCUACAAUGUUAAAAAAAUGUAAAUAAAAAGUAAAGAAUAUCCAAUAUAUAAUAACAAUGCACAAUGCUUUAGAUGUUAACUAAUUUUUUAUGCAUGCAAGGAUGGAUGUUUUAUCAUCAUCUCACGGUGACACGGCUUAUUAAUUUUCCUCAUAAAGACAAUUAAGAAGGUAAGAUUUAAGAAAGGGAUAAUUUCAUAAACCUUCUCUAAGAUUUUAACAAUUUCAUUGCGCUCCCUUAAGGUUUCAAAAAUUACACCUACCUCCCCUAAUUUGACACUUUUGGUAACCAAACCUUAGACUUGGUCAAAAUUUUUAAUGAAUAUCCUAAAAUACCCUCAACUUAUAACAUUUGAAUUACUUUCUAGAACAAUCAUAAUAUAUUUAACACAGAUAUACAAAAAGAGUGUGAAGUUUUUAAUACCAUAUUUAUUAUUUGAUAAGCAAAGAUGACAAUAGUUCUAUCACUAUGAUAAACUACUUUUAAUGGUGAUUUACCAGGGUAUGUAUUUUUUAAUUUGAAAAAGAAAAUACCAUCAUAAUUCUUUUAAAGUUCGUAGAAUUUUGGAUUGGUGGAAUUAUCAUAGCUUGGUAGAAAUAUUGGGCUUUUUUUUUGAGUUAAUGUUGCUUUUGGUACCAAAAAAAUCAGCAAGUAAAAAUUAGAUUGCAUUCAAAGUCAUAAAAAUUGUCACUAGUAAAACAUUUAUGCUGUCAAUGUUUAUAUUUUAUGGUUUUAUUGGCAAAAAUAUAAAAAGGGAGGAUAAGAAUAGAAUAAGGAAAGAAAAAUAAUUAUUAAUAUCAUUCUUUGUAAAAUUAUAUCUAACAAGAGAGUUUUAUUAAAAUGUUAAAACUAAUAUUGUCAUUUUAUGUGGGCAAAGGAGGCAAAUGUUAUUUUUAUAACCUUGAGGGAGCUCAAUGAAAUUAUCAGAAACCUGAGGAGAGGUUUUUGAAAUUGUCCCUUUAAGAAAAGCAAGAGAGGAUAUAUUUUCCUAUACCAGAGAGAGAGAGAGAGAGAGAUGUAAUUUAUUUUUUGUCAAUUGUCAUGAUCUACUCUAUUCAUACUCUAACCUAUUCUAGGGGGAGACCCAACUGAAUCUAUUUGGGAACCGACGGUGAUUGAAUCACUAUCGGAUCAAACUUUUUUACUCUAAUCUAUUUUAGGGGAAGGCUCAACUGAAUUCAUUAAAAAAUCGACCAGAAUUGAAUCACCAUUGAAUCAAACGUACGCACUCAUAUGGAUUUGAGAAAACCACGUAUAGUUGCUAAGUGAUGGGGGUAAGAUUUGAACAUUUAACCUCCCACUCCACCAAGACUUUAAGUCAUUGGGUGGCCAAUAGCCAUAUGAUUAAAAGAAGAGAAAUGUUGGAAAACCAUUAAGAAUGAGUCCAAGGUAAAAAAAAAUAAGAAGAAAAGGCCUAUCAUGUGGAGACUUUAAGAGAGAUAAUGAUCAAAAUAUUCAAUCCUUAGGACACUUUGUGGCUGAUAAGCUGUCUUUUUUUUUUUUUUUUUUUUUUGAAGGUGUGGCUGAUAAGCUGUCUUGAUCAUUACACAUGGAAUUUUAUUGAAGGGAUAACAUUCGAUGUGGCAGAAGGUGGGAUGAUUAGCACGGGGUAAGAAUUGAAUUUUAUUGAUCAUUACAGAGGAAACCAAAAAGAUUCAUUGGAUAAGGUGGGAUGAUUUGGCAGAAGUAAAGGGGAAGGGAGGACUAGGAUUCAGGGAGUUACAAGACUUCAAUCAGGCGUUAUUAGCCAAGCAGCUACGGAGAAUACUCACAAAGCCUAAUCUACUGAUGAGUAAGGUAAUGAAAGCAAGGUACUUUUCAGGAGCACCAUUAUGGACAAUGGAAAAGAAACUAAAUGAUUCGUGGAUGUGGCAAAGUAUCCUGCAAUCCUCUGUUUUGAAACUCGGACUGGACCGGCCGGUCGAACCGGUCGAACCGGGAACCGGCCAGGUAGCCGGUCCGAGUCAUACAAAAAAACCGGGAAUUUAAAACCCGGUCAAAGUCGGUCAAAAACCGGGUUUGACGGGAAAAAAACCUGUUUUCCGGCUCAACAGUGUUUUUUUUAAAAAAAAAAUUCAAACUUUUUAAUAUUAUGUUUUGACCCCCUAAAUUAUUAAAACUUAUUGAUAUACCUCAAAUAUUUGAUACUUUAUAAAUAUUGUCCUAAAAUUUUAUGUUAUUUUUCAAUUUAAUUCAUAAUUUUAAUUCUAAACUUAUUAAUAUUUAUUAAAUAAUAUAAAUUGCUACUUGAUUGUUUUAAUUUCUUUGUAUUUUCUUAUUAAAUAUAUUUGAAACAUCAAAUAUAUAUGAAUAUACCUUUAUUAAUAUCAACAUAUUAUUAAAUAUUAUAUAUAUAAUAUUUUAAUUUUUAAAUAAUUUUUAUUUAUGACGUCAUCCGGUUCGACCCCUAUCGACCCCCGGUCGAACCCAUUGACCCCUGACCUCGGCCGAGUCGCUUUCCGGUCCGGUUCUGAAAACAUAGCUGCAAUCGAGGGAACUGCUAAAGGAAGGAUUGAGGAUGAGGAUAGGAGAUGGGAACACAGUACAUAUGUGGAAGGAUAAAUGGUUGCUUAGGAAGGGUAGUGGGCUGGUAAGACCGAGGUCUGAUAAUGGGGAAAAUGUCGAGAAGGUAAGUGAAGUCAUUGUAGAUGGAAAAUGGAACAAGGAGCUACUAGAAAAGGUAUGCAAUGAAGCGGAUGUGAUAGAAAUAUUAAAAAUACCUUUGAGUCUGGAAGUAGGUAAACAUAGGUUAUAUUGGUGUCACUCAUCCACAGGAGUGUACACAGUUAAGUCAGGGUAUAUGGUAGCUAGGGGGCAAAAAAAAGAGAAGAAGAGAAGGAAAGUAAUAGUAGUAGAAAUGAAGAGCACACAGGAAUAUGGACAGUGCUGUGGGCAGAACAUUAAACAGAAGUUAAAGCAUUUCGGAUGGAAGUGUCUGAAGAGGAUACUGCCUAUAAAUGAGGCCUUUAGAAGGAGGACAGGAAUAGGAGAUCCAAUGUGCAAAGUGUGUGGAACUCAAGUGGAAAAGCUAGAGCACAUGAUGUUUUUCUGUGGAAAUGCAAAAGAAAUCUGGAGGAGAGCUCCAAUAAGCUGGGAUGGUUUGGAAUGUUUUCGAGAGAAUUUCUGGUUGUGGUGGGAGGAGUUGAUGCAAACGACCAGAAGAGCUGAAGGAAAGGAGCAUAUAGCCUUAACUGUGAAUAUACUAUGGCAGAUCUGGAAAUCAAGAAUGAAAAACAGUUCCAGAACAGUAGAAAGAGUGCAAUGAGGGCAAUUAAUAAGGCUCUUAUGGAGUGGAAUGAGUACCAAUCAACCCUGGAUGAAACUGAAAAGCAACCAGAGGAAGAGGAGAUGAAGGAGUAUGACAAAAGAUGGGCGCCUCCGACAGGACAACGAAUUAAAAUCAACACUGAUGCAGCGCUACAGGACCAUUGCGGACAAGCAGGGUGGGGAAUUGUGGCAAGGAACAAGGAAGGCAAGCUCGUCCAGUCAUGGGCUUUACCACAAACAAAUUGCACGGAACCAAAACUCGAGGAAGCACUAGCAAUUCGGAAAGCUCUCCAGGUAUCAAGGCAGGAAGGAUGGCAGGAAAUUGAAGUUCAAUCGGACUGUCAAAAAAUCAUAAAGAAGCUGCAACAGGAAGUUACGGAGGACAGCACAUGUGCGACGGUAUUGGAGGAUAUAGGAAGAUUCAAGAAGCACUUCAAGUCCAGCACCUUUUCUUUUAUUAGAAGAGCAGGCAAUGUAGUGGGCCACAAGUUGGCAAAAUUUGCAUUAAACUGUUGCUUGAUGUAAUCUGGAAAGGCGACUUUCUCCCCUGGCUAGUCAAUGCCGCAAGGGACGAUUUAACAGAGCAGUUGCUCUGAGUGUAUCUAUGGAUAAGCUAAUGAAAUGCCGUUAUCGUUGGGAAAAAAAAAAUAACAUUCGAUGUUUCGUGUCGUACGUCGGCCCCUAAGACAGUACGACUUUCAAAUAAAUGCAUCUACAUAAUAAAUUAGAGAUAUAUAUAUAUAUAUAUAUAUAUAUAUAUAUAUAUUACGUACAUCCGGAUAUUCUCUGCUACAAUUUUUCAUGUAGCAGCAUUUGGCUUUAUUAUUGCCUCCUCAGUUUCAAUUAUAUGUAAAAGCUUUUUUCUGUGCUGCCUACCAGCAUUAUCAAAUUUUUUUUUCUGAAUAAAGCAUUUUAGUCGUCAAUGGAAAUUAUGGAAUACUUUUUAUAAACAAAUUGUGACCUAGAAUAAAAGAAUAAUUGAGUGGUUAUCGUCUUUUUUACCCCUCAACAACUGAAUGAGACAUAUAUUAUUAUUUUUUUGGACAAAACAAAAUUCACAAACAGUGAUUAAGAUGCUGCAUAACCAUUAUCUACAUCUUUCUUUAUUUACUGUUCUUUAAGAUUUAAGACAAAGUACUUAAUUACCUCAUCAAGUCCUUUAUUACUUUGCUUAUUAGAAGGGAAUUAUAUAGUUCAAGUCCUAUAUUUCAGUGAUGAAGAUUUAUUGCGUACUUCCGUCUACCAAUUAAUCCCUGAUUUCCAUAAAAUAAAAUCAAUGCAGUAUUUGUAAUCUAUCGAUUUCCCUCUCCUAAUUUUCCCAAAUCUCUAAUUACAACCCUUAAUUCAUAAACUUCAAUGCAAUGUUGGUAUUACAAAGAUAAUCGACAUUGCCACUGUAGAAAAAAAGGAGCAGAGGACAUAAGGAAUAAAUUAGCACGCAGUAGUAUAUAAAGAACCAAAUUAACCACCACUGCUAUAAUAAAGGACCAAAAUGUUCAUAUUUCCAUCAAUUAAAAUACAUGAAAGAAUCAAACCACCACACUUAAAUAAUGUCUCUUAUUGUAAAUCCAGUUUAUAACUCAUAAAAAUCAUCAUUUUAUCUCUUUACAAUUUCAAUUCUAGACUUUCAGUUUCUUUAUAUAUAUCAAGAUGUUGACAAUUUAUGUAAAAGAAAAUAGAAAGAUUACAGGUACGGUGAUUUGCAAGGUUACAGACUACUAACCACUUAUUUUCUUAACCUAUUACUAGUCUAUGAUCAUCUUAUCCCUAGCUUUUAAGUAUUUUCACCCACAAAAUUUUAAAAUUUUAGACAAGUGUAGAGAAUUUUAGACGCUUAUGACUUUCAAAAGUUAUACUAUGUGUGAUGUUACUAUAGUCCUCAUGUGUUUGACAACACAAUUCAUCAUUUAAACUUAAUGUAUUUAGAUCUUAAUAUAUUCAGAUACAUUUGAUAACAAAAAAUUGAACAUCUGAAUUAAUUAAGUGCCAUUAAAUUUUUUAGGCAAAACUUGCUAUAAAAAAUAAGUGAUAAACUUUUUACUUAUCACCGAAUGUGAUAUACACUCAAACGUAUUUGAUUUAAUACUUAAUAAUUCAAUAAUUUAAUGGAUUCAGAUUUCAGAUUUCAGUUUUCAAACUUCAAUUUUAUCAAAUGCACCCUAAAUACAAUGAUAUGAAUGUGUGUGCAAAUUUUCUUGUACCUGAAUGGAAGAGGAAGGUUGGGAGGUAAAUGAGGUUUUCUCAAGUGAGUUGGCAGAGCGACCAUGAAUAGCAUGUCACCCCAGUUAAGUUUUUGUUCCUCCGAUACAACAAAGGCCUGUCCAUAUCCUUCUACAUCGCCCGGUUCUUGGGCAAAUCUCUUCUUCUCUUCAAUCGUCAAAUUGAAAAACUUUUGCAUCUCUAGUUUCAGUUUGUCCACUAAUGAAGAGCUCACUCCAUGAUUAAUCACCUGGUGACAAAUUGUACUGUCACUAAUUAUUUGGUGCUGACUAUUAUAACACUUCUCCAUUUUAACAGCGGGCAUGUAUAUCCAUUUAAAUUAGAUGAUUGUCCUUGUAUAACAAUUCAAAGAAGAUCCUAGGAAAAGCAGGAAAGAAAAGGAGAUCACUCCUAUUACAUUCUAGUCAUGCAUUAUGUAAUACUACUAGAGAAAACCAAAUGAGUUUAUAUAUUAGGGUAGGCAUGCUUGCUUUUGACAUAAAAUCUCUGGAUAAUUACAAGAAAAGAAACAUUUCAAUAUGAAAAAAAAAACUUGUGGCAAGAUAUAUCAUUUACCUACAGUCCUGAAAAGUCAUAGUUAUUAACAUAAUAAAUAUUUCAGAAUUAUUUUAUUCCCUUGAAAGUAAGUUAAAGUUGUGGUAAAAACCAAAUUGAAAUGACUGGUAGAUUUUGAGCAAAUACUAUUACAAUCAGACUCCAUUAUUAGGUCAACAACAAUACCUAAUAUAUGCAUAUACAAAUACGAAAUGACAAACCUGGAAGAAGCCCCAUUAUUUGCAGGCAAAAUGCAACUUUUCAAGCUCUGGAUUCACUGAUUCAUCCGAAAGCAACCUUUGCAUGUCAAUUACUGGGAUUUCCUCUGUGGAGGCCCCAUCAAGUUUGGUUGGAUCAGGUCGUGUGUAUCGGGGUGGAACUGAUGCAAAUUUCUCCUUAGCCAACUCCUGAACAUAGGAUACUUUUAGAGAGCUUCCCAAAUUUAUCAUACCAGAUUCCAUGUUUGUGUUUUCUGUAAAUCUCUACCUAUAUACAUAUAUAUAUACACGUAGCUCCAAGUUGCAAUUGAUAUCAAUUCGUGAUCAAGGCACACUUUAUAUGUAUUACUAGGGGGAGUACCCACGUAUCGCGCGGGUGUUUGGUGCCUGUAAUUAGAGAAAAUUUUUCACUGGACCAAUAAUAAUGCAUUCUGAAAAGCAAUAAUCAUCAAAUAUGACAAAACUAAUAAUAGUACAUUCUAAUUACAGCACAUCUACAAAACUAAAAAUUUUCAUUUGUUUUUUGUGGAAAUGCAAAAAAAAAAAUUAAUUAUGUAUAAAUCAAAAAAAUUACUAAUUUAAUUAUUGGCACUUUGCUCAUACGUUGGAGGACUGGUAAAAAAGUCGUGAAGAGCUAGUAUUUUUAUUAAUGAAAACUUUUCCCGUAAAUGGCCUGCUCUUUAUAGCUUUCCUUCAUUAUAUGAUCAAAAUACCAUACUUUUUUGUAUUUAUUACGAAUUCACAUAUUGUGACUGUGAAUUAAAAAUUUUUUGAGAUCAUAUUUUCAUUAAUUAGUCUUUUUUUCGUAUUAUCGUUAGUUUGAAUGAAAAAUUUAGUUGCACGGUGUUUGGGAGAAACUUCUAAAGUAACUAUAUAAUCCUAAUAAUUUUUAUAAUUGCUUAGCAUAUUUAUGUCAUGGUAUAUAUUGUUGGUAUGUUGAUAUUAAUUUUAUUAAAUUGUUUGGUAUAUUAGGUGCAAAAAAAUUAUAGUUUCACAAUUUUUUAAAUGUAAUAAAGCAGUGGAGAAACAAUGCACAGUGAACAAAGGAAUUGGAGGGGAAAAAAGACUACAUCCGGACAUGUCUUAUUUGGUUUAUCUCCACACACGUUACCACUGCAACAUAAUGAUCCGUAAACUCCUCAUUUUACAAAUAUACCUGUCAUGCUCUGAGGAAAUGUCUAUAGUAGGAAGGGUCAAAGGCUUCCUUCCAUAAAAGCUUCCUAAAGUGAGCACAUCAGUGACCAGCCUGUCACAAAAUAUCAGUGUCAAUUGUACUAUAAAAUGUAACCUUAAAGUCUUCACGGAACGUCUCUGGAGUGAUGUAUUCCUUUAUCAAUUUGUAUCAAAAUUGGAUUAGUCCAUCUCCAAAAAUUGAUGACUUACUAAAUAGGAUCCACAUACUUUGCUACGCAGAUGAGCUUGCGAUUGUUCAUUAUAAAAGUAGACAACAUCAGCCUAAAGAGAGCAGCACAUCAGUGCCCAGCCUGUCACAAAAUAUCAGUGUCAAUUGUACUACAAAAUGUAAUUUUAAAGUCUUCAUGGAAAGUUCUCUGGAGUGAUGUAUUCCUUUAUCAAUUUGUAUCAAAAUUGGAUUAGUCCAUCUCCAAAAAUUGAUGACUUACAAAAUAGGAUCCACAUACUUUGCUACGCAGAUGAGCUUGCGAUUGUUCAUUAUUAAAGUAGACAACGUCAGCCUAAAGAGAGCACAGCAGUGCCCAGCCUGUCACAAAAUAUCAGUGCCAAUUGUACUACAAAAUGUAACUACUACCACAAAUAUUUAACCAUUAGGACAUUGAAAAUACAAAUAAUAAUAACGUACCUAAUAAUACAACAAGUUUUAUCACUUAUUAAAAAUUGUAUCUCAAAAUCAAUCUCAUCUAGCGAACGUUCGGACUAAAACUAUUUAAACCAUCAUUUGCAAUUGCUCUAUCAAUAGUAGAGAAUCUUCAUCCAAUUUGAGACUUUUCCCAAACUACAUAUAUACAAAAUAUGUCGUUUGGAAUUUUGCACUUCAACCAUAAAUGGAUUGGUUUUAGGAUAGAAUUUUAAAUUUAACAUUAUUACCCAUGGAGUUGUUUUGCUUCUAAAAUGACUCGUAUACAUCAGAGAUUUUGACCUAAUUUGACUGAAUUUCUAUCUAUCCGAUUUUUUAGGAUAACUGAGACUAGACAUUUGGCCGAUUUUUAGUUCGAUCGAUCGAACCAACAGGUCCGGUCCAAGUUUAAAAACACAGAUGAAAAACACACGAAGAGAUAAUGCUCUUAGAAGUGAUACUUCAGAGGUCUAGCUCAUUUGGUCUAUGGACUGGAUGAGGUUGGACAAGUGUAUUAGGAAUAUAUUAUAAAAGGGCUUCGUUGCAUUUUGGGCUAUAUUAAACUAAGAUUGGGAACUGAAAUUGUCUUUUCGUAUUGCCACAUAGAUCGGAUAUUCAAGUUGAAUGUCAUUACCCUCAAAAAAAAAAAAAGUUGAAUGAAUCAUUGGACAUCAUUUUCGUGAUUUUAAUAAUGGCUUAAGUCAAAAGACAUGUAGUAUGCUGACUUGGCAAGAGUUUUUUUUUUAGCCUCUUCUAUUUUUUUCGUUUGCGAAUGGAAACCCUCGCUAUCACAAAUUAUUACAUAGACCCUGCCACGUAGACAGACCUUAGGCAGGUAACCCUCCCACGUAGACAGACCUUAGGCUUGUUAACGGGUCGGGAUUAUGAUUGAAACUGAAAAUUCUGAAUCUAACCCAUUUUUAUGUAAUAAAUCCAGACCCAACCCGUAUACCCAAUGGGACUUGAUCUUAGAGUUUUGGAAUUGGGUUCGACGGGCUGUGGGUCGAAUCUAGGUCUAUUCGGCGAAAAAAAAUCCAAAUUUAAACAUUUUAAAAUUAAAUCCAAAACCAAUCAUAAAUCCAUCUCCAAAAUUAAACAAAUCAAAUUAUAAAACUAAAUCACAAAUAAUUCAAUAGUCAAUACAAAACUAACCACAAAUCAAUCUACAAAAUCAUUACUAAAUUGUUAAUUUGGUAAAAGAAUGUAUUUAGAAAUAUUUAUAUUUUAUAAUUAUUAGUAUAUUGUUUGGAUCUGGGUUGGAAUCCUAUAUUCUGUAUCCAACCUAUUUUUUGUUAGACUAAACGGAUCCGGGUAUUGGAAUUAUUUCCCAACCCAUAUUCAGAAAAAAUUAUCGGGCUUGAGCCGAGUUCGAAUCCAAACCAAACCCAUUGGUACCCCAAGAGAUGGCCAACCUAGGCCAUGGGCUUUUUCUAUCACCCAUUAUCCCCAUUUAGAAGAGUAGGGAAGACUUUUUUUUUUUUUUUAUAAUAGAGCACAAAUAAGAAACAAAAGCAAUUUUAACACAUAUAAAAGUAUUUGGGAAGAGAAGGAGAAUAAAUAUACAAACAAACAUUUAACUAUUUAUUAACUCAAAACUCAAUCAUAGCAAUAUCAAAUAGUAACUUUUCGUUUACGAUAACUUACAAAUCUAAACUAUGAGACUUUCCCUCAAAUUUACUCUCAAAACUCGAUUCAAUUUUUCAAGUAAUAAUCUACGACUCUAGUAGUAUUUAUGCAUUGUUAAACUUAUUAAACAAAUACAAUUAUAAAUCGAAACUUAUUUGGAACUGAUUUGAAAUCUCCUAAACCAAUAUGGGAACUAAACAAACAAGACACCGAAACAAGAAACUAGAAGAAUUAGAAAACUAAAUACUAAGAUAGUUGGGUUUAAUUUCCUUUAUUGCCUUCCUUAAACCAUGCUCGUUAUUGUGCUCACCUCCAAUGUCAUUUCGAACUUGAAUCUCUAUGAAAAACUCAGUUGCAGUAGACACAACAUUUAACUCCAACUUAUGAUUGAUUUUUAGUUUCAUCUUUACACGUAACAGUGGUUGAAGCUUAUACUUUUUGAACAAUUUCUUACCUUGAUCACUUAUGUCAAAAAAGUUAAACAUGUUCAUCCAAACUCCAUUCAUUACUCCACAUCACCAAGAAAAUUUCCCAACACUAGAAAAUCAUAGUUGCCACCUCCAAUGUUUUUAACAUCACCAUAUUUUUCCUUUAAUUUUUUCACGCUAACAAUCGCGUCAAUUUUAACAAUCGCAUCUUUCGCUUCAAAAAAUUCAUCAACCACAAUGAAAUAAAAAAUUUCUCUCUUAUCACAAUCUUUUGUUACAUUUUCCAUAUCACCAACGACUUCACUUUCUUUCUCCAUCACAUGUGAAAUUUCUUUGUCGGCCACAAAUUUUUCAUCUUCAUGUGUACCCAUAAUUUCUGCAAUUUCUUCUUUCUUUGACUCAUCAAAAAAAAAAAAAAUCUCCUACCUCAUCACAAAAUUCUUCUCCACCCACUACAAGAAAAUUGUGUUUCUGUGACAGGCGAAAGUCGUCACUAAAAAUUCAGAAGUCGUCACAAAAAAAGUCAGUGACGACUUUUACUGCUGUCACAGAGCUGUCACUAGUUCUAUGUCACAAAAGGGGGUCCAUGUGACGACUGUUGAAAGUCGUCACAAACGAUUUCGCUUUUGUGAUGACUCUUGUCGUCACUCAUUGUUGUACAUUGUGUGACGACUUUUAUUGUCACUAAGCUGUCUAAAUUCUUGUUAUAGUCAACUCUUGGAGUUGUCACAUUAUGCUUCCGUUCAGUGACGACUUUUGUUGUCAUUGUUUUCCAUCCAUAAAAAGUGACGACUUUCUGGUGUUACUAGUGAAACUUGUUGGCAGUGACAACUUUUUUAUUGUCAUUUAUUUUUUUUGUAAAAAGCAAUAAUCUAAUGUUAAUUAUGCAACAUAGCUGCCAACAAUCACAAAACGCUCAUUGAGUAGCAAGGAGAAAAAAAAAGCCAACAUACGAAAAGAAAGCCAACAUUCAUUUCCAAUAGAAGAUUAACCCAAAUACAUAUAUAUAUAUAUAUAUAUAUAUAUAUAUAAAUGUUGCCUCAAAUGAGUCAUCAACCAUGCACCAUCCAAAAUAAGCCAUUCAGUUAUGAUACUAGUGAUUUCCCAUCCACAAUAGAGAGUAGUAAAGUUCUAUACAAAAAUAUGAGCACGAUUCCCAUCUAGAACAAAACAUGAGCACGAUUGGCCUUGUAGUCUUCAAAUCAAAAACCAUCUUCACAGCAAUGACUGGCUUCUUCUUCUUGGGAAUCGUGUUAGAACCUACACGUUAUCAAAAUUGAAGCAAUGAGCACUGGUGUUAAAACUGGAACUACACUUCUAGAUAGGCACCAUAUUAUAAAAACUAAUGUCACUCUAAUUUGAAAUUAUAGCAAUCUAAGUAAAUUGCUUAACACAAAAAUAAAGUGAAAUUAUAGCAAAUAAGACAUUGAAUGUAUAUUCUGUGAAAUAUAGAAUAACAAUACAAACACAAUAAAUAUCCGCAUGUUCACAAAUAUAUAUGCAAUAACAAUAACAAUAACAACAAUAAAAUCCUAAAAUCAUUGAGAGCUAGAUGAUCAUGAACCACACAGUAUAUCAAGAAAAAAAAAAGACACACACACGCACAAUCAUAGGUGCCUCUUUUUCCUUAGCACAAAAAAAAAAUUCUGAUACAGAAAAAUUUAGAUGAGUUCGACAAAGAAAAAAGUUGAAUACAUCCCAACAUUCAAACACCUUUGCUUUAAAAACACUAAAGUUUUGGUUGCAACAUCCAGCACCUCAAUGGCUGUAAUUAAACAUGAACAAGAUUUCAAGCACCUAAAUCAGCCUCAAGCAACUCAAUUGCAUUAAACAGGAAUCGGAUUUGGUGGAACCAGAUUUCAAGUGCCAUCAAGCAACCCAAUUGUAUUAAAAAUGAAUCUCUAUUUUGUAGAACCAGAAUUCAAGUGCCUCAAUUGUAAUAACUAUGAAGAGCAAACAAUUUAUUUAUACUUGACACAGAAGUUGCUUAUUUGCGCAAGUCUUUCAGCUGGUUAGCUAACUCAUCAUACAGGCUUCUUGUUUCUGUUUGUUGCUGUUGCAAGGUCUUAAUCAACUCUUGUUGAGCAGUGAAUUGUUGAGUUAUUUCUGCAGCUCGUUUUUCUGCUUCAUCUGCUCUUUUUCGGCUGUCCUCAAUCUCAUGCCUCUAGCGUUCUACCUCAGCAGCUUGCUUCUUGGUUGCACUACGACUGCGGAUGUGUCCAGGUAUGUAACCAAGUUCUUGCUCUUAUAUUUCCUUGCUAGUCAUUGAAGUUGUAGCCUACAAUUCCCUCAUUUUGUCCUAGGCAAGUAAAAAAUAUGAUCAUUAUGUAGCUGGAAUGGAUGUCAAUAAUUUAAAAAUCCAUUAUCCAAGUGAAACAGCUCACCAAGGUCUCUUUUGCUUUGUCAUUUACCAGCCCCCCUGACUUCUUUGACUUUCGACUUAACUCAAACAUGUCUAUCUCUGAAAGCUCGACAUCUUCUUUCCUUUUCUGUCCAAAUUUUCAAUUUUUUCAUUUUCAGUCAUAUGACAAAAAAGAUGUACAUGUACAAGUGUUGGCUGGGUUUCAGAUUACCUUUUCCUCAACAACUCUUGCAAGCGAUUUUGUGCCAACAGUAGUGUGGCAGUCAUUUUUGGCACGAUUUUGCGUGUUACGUUCACUAAUUUUCUGCCACAAAUUAGUGAAAAUUUUAACUGACAAAGAUUAGCAAAUUUGUGAAGUGAAAUCUGAAAUUUAAUAAAAGGAUAGGUUAUUUUGACAAGCUAACCUUAAAUUCAUCAUUUUCAAAGUAGCUGACCAGCCACUUCCAAUCUUCUUCACUCACACCUUCAGGAACUUGCCUCAAUGCUUCUUGUCUUGAUUCAAAACUCUGGAAAUACUUGUGAAGCCGAUAUCAAUGGUUUCGAUAUGGUGUGUUUAACUGCCUAUUAAUAGCAGUUUUUGAGGUGAUGUGCUCUGGAAAUCGAAAGUCAUCCUACAAUAACAGUGCAAUCUACUUAAAACCAAGCAAAUCUAUGUGAAAAUGACAUAUUAAAUCUAAGGAAGAUUUGAGUGCAAAAGUAGUGCAAAUCUAAAGCAGUAAAAUCUCUCAUACUUUCUGGAUGAAAUUAGAGUAUUAGCAGGUCAACAAAUACCGUAACCGUGCUGUAUAUGCCUUCUCGGUCACCGGGAUUGAGAUGGGAUCACUUUGGAACAUUAAGCCUAGCAGCCUUCCUAACAACACAACCCCCUUCUGUGAUGAAGUAUUGAGAAUCCUUCCCAACAAUCCGUCGAAUACAAUCAUCAAUUUCAAUGGUGAGCGUCUCAUUAGCCUCCUUUUUUUGUGAUAAUGAUAGAUUUCGUGUACGUCCUCUUCUUCUUGCUGACAGCAGCAUAGCUAUUAACAAAUAUCAGUCCAUACAUUACUUUGACCACAUUAACAAAGUCAGUCAUGAAAUAGAAACUUGGUUUUUAAUUUCAGCCGUGAAAAUGAAGUCUAACUUACCAUUUUCUUGCUUAUCCGAAACUGGAAUAGUCUCAUUUUCUCCGGAUGCACGAGACUCAGAUGUCUGAGGGUGUAUCAUCCUACUCUCACUAGCAAUUUCUCUAGGUGAAGAAGUUGGAGUGACAGAUAUUGCAUUCUCUGAGGAUACACUCUUGGAUGCACUUCUUGGUUGAUUGCUUCCAACUGAAUUAGGUAUUGCAGGCUGUUGUGCACCUUGAGCUUUUCUCUGCAGCAUUUGGCCUCGCUUUCCUGGUCCAGCCAUCUAAAAGUAACAAGAAGUUAGUGUUACAACAUAGUAUAAUUUAGGAAUAAAAACUAGUUAGCCGGAGUUAAAGAGAUUAAACUUAGUGUCAUGUAGUCCUUAUCAAUUUCACCUAUUCCGAAUCGAUGUCAUUAUCACUAAGAAUCUCCUCUUUGUCUUCCUCAUUGUUAGACUCAUGUUCAUUCACUUCAUCAUCAUCAUUAAUGAAGUCUUCAAAGGUGCCAUUUGAGCUAUUUUUUGACUUCUCAGCAUGUACAAUGGAUGAAGGUACAGCCUUCGGUAUCUCAUUGUCUUCUCUUGAAAGUAAUGGUGGAUUGUCGAGGUCUAUUAUAAUAGUGAAAUCCCCAGUUGCUUCUUCUUGAUAUAUUUCCUCAACAAUUGGUUCUUUUUCUAAAUCUUCAGGAACAUCAUACAAGUGCCUUGGACUGAACCUCUCGACGACAAACCAGUUUUUGCCUAGUUUCAAGUCUUCAAGAUAAAAGACUUGUUGGACAUGUUGAGGGAGGACAUAUGGUUGGUCUUCAUACCAUUUUCUGGACGAAUUGACACUUGUGAUACCCCAUUCUUUGUCCACUUGCAUCCCAGCACUAUCAUCGGUCUUCCACCAGUCACACUUGAAUACUAUAACCUUUUUUUUCCCGAGCCAGUAUCUUACUUCAAUAAUUUGUUGUAUCACACCAUAAAAAUCGAUCAUGUUGUUACCAUGCUCACCUCUAACUACAAUACCACUGUUUUGAGUCUUUCUUUGCCUUUCCCGAUUUUCCGUGUGAAACCUAUACCCAAUUCCCAUUAGCCGGGCCUUAUUCCCAACAUAACUUUUUAGCACUGCCAUAUGUCUUUCUCAAAGCAAAAUAAAAGAAAUUAGAAGAUUGUAGUGGUCUUUAAUAAAAAAAAAAACUUACAAGGCUAUAUGUACAACUUUCUACCUCUCAAAUGGGAACAUCCAACGAUAUUGAGCUGGACCGCCAAGGAUAGCUUCAGUAGGCAAGUGAACCAUCAAGUGCAUCAUUAUAUCGAAGAAAGCUGGAUGGAACAACCUCUCUAAUUUACAUAAGAUGACUACAAUUUUUUGGCCUAACUCCUCCAGAAUCUCUCUAUGUAAUGUUCUAGCACAUAAUUUUUUGAAGAAUUCACUUAACUCGAAUAGCACUUGCCGAAUUUCUUUUGUUAAACUUCCAUGGAUUGCAAGUGGGGAGUAGCCUUUGUAUAAAAAUGUGAAAGUCAUGACUUUCAUUCCAGAAAUUUGAAACUGGCCAUUCUUUAUACAUCGGCAAAUGUUUGAGGCAAACCCAUCUGGAUAUUUGAUAGAAUUCAAGAACUCACAUACUUUUUUUUUCUCCUCCUUGGUUAGGCUGUAACAGGCAUGUGGCAUGAUAUAAGAGUCGCCAUUUGGAAUCAAAUGUAGCUCUUUUUUCAAACCCAAAUCCUUCAAAUCUUGACGACACAACCAGUGGUCUUUGGUUUUGUUUUCAAUAUCCAUAAUUGUGGCAAUGACAGCCUCUGAGACAUUUUUUGACACAUGCAUUAAAUCCAAAUUAUACCUAAGAAGGAGGUCUGCCCAAUAUGGCAACUCAAAGACACAAAUUUUCUUUGUCCAGUUCAAACCACUCUCAGAACGCUUGCGUUUCUUUGCAUUGGAUUGCACCUUGGUCUUCCCAAAAUUUACCUCCAUAUUUUGUGCCUGAUCCAAAAUUUCAUUUCCAGAUAAAGGUGCAACAGGAUUCCUAAAGUCCACAUUGCCAUCGAAAGGUUUUUUUUUCUCGCCGCCAAGAAUGGUCAAUGGGUAAGAAGCGGCGAUGACCUGUGUAACACAACUUUUUUCAAUGUGGUAAAUGUACGCAAGUUGUCUCAACUAUGCAAAUAGGACAUGCUUGAUACCCUUUCGUACUCCAUCCGGACAGCAUUGCAUAAGCUGGAAAAUCAUUUAUAGUCCAUAGUAAAGCUGCCCGAAGGUCAAAUUUCUUGGCACUAUAUGCAUCAUAUGUUUCAACACCAAGCCACAUUUCAUUCAGUUCAUCUAUUAGAGGCUCCAUGUAAACAUCAAUCUCAUUUCCCGGGGAUUUAGGCCUAGGAAUUAGCAUUGAUAGGAAAAAAAAAGGAUCUCUUAUACACUUCCAAGGGGCAGAUUGUAUGGCACUAGAUAAAUAGGCCAGAUGCUAUAAGCACUACUCAUGGUUCCAAAAGGAUUGAAACCAUCAGUUGCAAGACCUAACCUCACAUUUCUAGGAUCAACGGCGAAGUUCGGAUGCAACCUAUCAAAGUGUUUCCAUGCUUCACUGUUUGCUGGAUGCCACAUGAUGUUAUCAUCAUGCACACACUUUUCUUUAUGCCAUCACAUAUCUGAAGCUAUUUCUUUGUGGGUAUAUAAUCGUUGCAGCCUAGGCUUAAAAGGAAAGUAACGCAAAACUUUGCGUGGAACUCUUGAACCUGCCAUCUUGUAGCGAGGUUCUUUACAAUUUAGAUUUGGACAAGUGUCUAAAUUUUCAUUUUCCUUGCGGAAGAGAACGCAAUCAUUGACACAAGCAUGGAUUUUUUCAGAUUUAAAACCUAAGUCUCAAAUGAGCUUCUUAGCAUCAGCAAAAGACUUGGGAACUGUGGCUUCAGGAGGUAGUGCAUGCCUAAAAAUUUCCAACAAUGCAUUGAAGGACUUUAUAGUCCACCCGCUCAUUGUUUUCAAAUGGAGCAAAGUGACUACGAAGGAUAGCUUUGAGUAAAAAUGAUUCCCUGGAUACAGCUCCUUUUUUGUAUCUUCUAACAAUUUAAGAAAGUUAUCUGUGUCACUAUGAUUCGCAUUUAAACUAUCAUCCGUUGAUUCUUCCCUACCAGCCCAAUUGUCCCCCCAUUGUGCUGUCCCAAUGUCGUGCAACAUGUCAUUUUUUACUCCGAGUUCAUAAGCCUUGUCCUUCCUAUUGCUAAUCUUCAUCCAAGUUUUAUCCAUGUCCUAGAUAUAGACACAUCAGCCUUUAGUACAAAAUACUUUUCUAAUAUCAAACUAAAGAGAAUAAUUUGUUAACUAGCCUUUUCAAAAAUUAAGGCUACAAGUCAUAUGAAAAGCAGCCAUAAAAGUAAUAUGAAAAUUCAUAUGAAAAGCCAUGAAAUGAGUAUCAUAUAUCAAGAAAAGUAAUAUGUAAAAUGCAACAUUUCAGAAGCCCAAAUUGCCUCGGAUAAUGGCAAGGAAAUGAAGCCUUUCGGGGGCAGGACAGAAGCCAUUGGAUAAUGAGCUAACAAAAAUAGGGGAAAAUUAAAAUGUAGGUUCGAAAAUGGCAAGGAAAUGAAGAACAAAGAACAAACUUCAGUUGAACUUACCUGAGAAAUGUAUAGCUUUCCCCAAUUGCCUCGGAUUUGCUCGUGCUAAAGAGCUCGACGCGGUUGCGGGUCAAUAGAGGGGAGAAAGGGUUAUCGUCAGUGGUGAAGGAAAUGCUGAAGAAUAAAUUAUGGUGCUGGGUAGCUCGGACUUUAGCGGCUGAUGGCGGUGGAUAGCGGCGGACUUCAGCGGUUAACAGUGGUGAGCGGCAUUUCGACGCGGUUGCGGGUCAAUGGAGGGGAGAAAGGGUCAUCGUCAAUAGUGAAGGAAACGCUGAAGAAUAAAGCUCAAGUUGCUCGGUAGCGGCGAACUUCAACGGCUGAUGGUGGUGGAUAGCGGCGGACUUCAGCGGCUAACGGUGGCGAGCGGCAUUUCGAAUCUACGGGAAGGAAGGAUUAGUUCACCAUAGGAAGGAAAGACUGAGAAUGAAAUUUGUCUAAGUGUUGGAAGAGAGAAGCGGCGAGACUUUUGUUUGUGUGUGAACAACCAAAAACGACGUCGUUUUGUAAAGAUUUCAGCCACCCGCCUCGCGCCUCUUUCAGAUUUCAGACUGGCGCUUUUUUUUUUUUUGGCAUCUAAGCACGUCUUUGAGAUUCCAGGAUUCACGCUUUUAGCUUCAUACAUCUUUUUUCCUUUGUUUUUAGCCAAAUUUUUUUUCAGGUUUCUUUUUUCAUACUUAAUCUUUUUUUUUAUCCUUAAUCUCAUCUAUAAAUAUCAAAUAAAUUAUUUGAUAUUGGUUUCUUUUUUGUGCAUGUAUAUAUAUGUGUGCUUGUUUGUGUCUAUAUACAUAUUUUUGGGUUUGGACAACUCAAUAUACAAAUUAUUUAAAAAUUUACCUUACAAUAAAACUUACACAAUAAAACAUGUUUCAAAAAUUUAACAUGCAUAGAAUCGCUUAUAUACAUUAUAGCACUUCUUACUCAUGCUUAUACUACUCUUUGUCUAUUACUUAGUUUUUAUAAUAAAUUAAAAGAAACGUGUAAUCAAAUAUUUUGUUAAAUGUGUGGCAACUCUCAAUCUUAUUGCACAACAGAUAUUUUACUGAAUAAUUUUAAUUUUGUAUAUACCCAUUCCACAUGAAAAUAAUUAUUACUUAUGAUGUAUUACACGUUAUACUAAUCUUUCAUAGUGCUAACAUUAGACUACAAAUUAUAUUCAAUUACACUUUUUCAAAUUAUUUCAGUUAUUGAUUUUUGGGAAUUGUUAUAAGGAAUAAUAAACAAUUCGUGAAAAAAUUUUUAUGCUCAGACAUGUCUAUUAUGUCAACUUAGCAAAAAUUACAAAUAUCUAAAAAUAGUUUGUUAUUAUAUCAUUUGCAUUUUGCUAAUAUGUAAUUAAUAGGGGCUAAAUUAUAAAAUUAGGGUGUCAUAUCUUCGGUGCUUUUGCUCAUAUAAAAGAAUUGGGGGCUAAGUAAUAAAAUUAGGGUGCCAUAGUAGAAUUAGAGAAAUUUGAUGAAAAUACUAUAGAAUUGCUUAUAUACAGUAUAGCACUUCUUACUCAUGCUUAUCCUACUCUUUGUCUAUUACUUAGUUUUUAUAAUAAAUUAAAAGAAACAUGUAAUCAAAUAUUCUGUUAAAUGUGUUACAACUCUCAAUCUUAUUGCACGACAGAUAUUUUACUAAAUAAUUUUAAUUUCGUAUAUACCCAUUCCAUAUGAAAAUAAUUAUUAGUUAUGAUGUAUUACACGUUAUACUAAUCUUUCACAGUGCUAACAUUAGACUACAAAUUAUAUUCAAUUACACUUUUUCAAAUUAUUUCAGUUAUUGAUUUUUGGGGGUUGUUAUAAGUAAUAAUAAACAAUUCAUGAAAAUAUUUUUAUGCUCAGACAUGUCUAUUAUGUCAACUUAGCAAAAAUUACAAAUAUCUAAAAAUAGUUUGUUAUUAUAUCAUUUGCAUUUUGUUAAUACAUAAUGAAUAGGGGCUAAAUUAUAAAAUUAGGGUGUCAUAUUUUCGGUGCUUUUGCUAAUAUAAAAGAAUUGGGGGCUAAAUAAUAAAAUUAGGGUGUCAUAGUAGAAUUAGUAAAAGUUGAUGAAAAUACUGUAGUAUACAGUGACGCAAAAAGUUGUCACAAAAUUGGAACCAGGUAGACUUUCAAUGACAACAAGUUAUGUUGUCACUGUAGAGAGAGUGUUUGUGACGACUUUACUUGAGUUGUCAUAAAAUCAUUUCCCGCGGCAUCAAAUGAGAUGCGCGCCAACUAUUUCGUGACGAGUCGAGAAUGACAACUUCCAAUGUUGUCAUUGAUUAUGCUUGUGCUGUACUCAUCUGUGAUGACACCUAAUGUCAUCACUGAAUUAGGUUAUCUGUGACAAGAUUUUUGUUGUCACAUAAAUUUUUGUCACUGAAAAAUAUAUUUCUUGUAGUGACCAUGACCAUAGAAAUUCAUCAAAAUUUUCCAAACCUCUGUUGUUGUAUUUACAUCUAUAAAUUUUUUGGCUACAUGCAGUUGGACUUGGGUGUUGAGAUAUUGGAAUGCCUUGCAAUCUAACUAUUUAUUCUUCUCUAACACUUAAAUUGCUUGAUAAUUCAUACCUUCUAUAGGUUUCGUGAACCCCUUUUAGACAAAAUCCCAAAUUCCAAUAGUUUGAAAUUUUUUUUUCAUCAUCCAACUCCAAAUCUCAAAAUCAUUUUUAUCAUCAAAAAUAAAAACAUCACAACGUGAUGAAUAACAUUGAUCCAUGCUUCAAUUUCAUGAACAAGCCCUAGAAUCAAAGUCCAGACCUCUAAUACUUUGUAGGAAAAUAGCCCAUAGGAUAAAUAAUCAAAACAAAUCACACACUCGAAGAAAUAGCAUGGCAGCGAAAUAUUUAUAAACAAACAAACGGAACGGGCUCAAGAAAGAAAUGAAGGAAACUAAUUCCUAAACUAAUAUGAAAACUAAACAAACAAGACACCAAAACAAGAAAUUAGAAGAAUUAUGAAACUAAAUACUAAGAUAGCUUGGUUUAAUGUCCUUCAGUUAGUGAAACUAGUUAUGAAAGGAGUUUGGUAGUCAUCCCUUUCUUAUAGUCAAUCUUUCCCUCUGCAUCUCUUUCUUCUUCUCUCGUUCUGAUCAUUCCUCAUUCUUGAACUAAUUCUUUCCUUCUCUAGUUCAUUUUUCUCCCAAAUCAGUACUUAAUUUGGACUCCAAUGUUUGAGUCCCUGAUAGUUGUUGGUAUGAAGCGGUUGACUCUGGCUGCUUGAAUACCCCCUGAUCAUGGCUGAAACUACUUGUUUUAAGUGUUUGAAGGAGCAGGUCAAGAAACAGAAGCAAGGUUGAACAAGGCUCUGGCUUCCAUAGGAAAUUUUUAGCAGCAGUUAGACUCCAUGAAUAAUUUCCAGCAACAUUUUAAAGAUGAGUGGGAAAGUAAUGGCAAGAAGAUGGAGUCCAUGAUUCAUAAUGUGCAUCAGAAAUUCAGCUCCUCUAUGAUGUUGAUGUCUUGUAAAGACAAUCAGAAAGUGAUCUACGAAGAAGAAAAUUUUGGGAUUCCCACCUCCUAGAAGCAACAGAAGUUGCUGUCCACCAAUGAGCCUGGAGCGACUACUAAGGAGAACUGGAGUAGGAUUCCUUUUCCCAGUUACUCUUAAGGUUGAAUUACCUAUGUUCUCUGGGGAUAAUCUCAGGGAAUGAGUCAGAAAAUGCCAUAAAUUAUUCUUGUUUUACAAAUUUUUUUGAUGAAAAUAGAAUGAAUGUGAUUGGAAUGUAUCAUGAGGGAAUAACAGAUAACUAGUUUCUGGGGGUCAAGAUUGAAAAACCUAGCUAGUUUGUCUUGGAAGGAAUUAAAGAACUAUCGUGCACACAUUUGUUGACCGAGGAAAUUUGGAAAAAUUCAAUAAGUCGCAAUAGAUUGGUAAUUUAGAAGAAUACCAAGAGAAGUUUGAACAGUUGAAAACUUUGAUGCUCCGCAGGAGUAAUAAGACUUAGUGAACGAUAUUCUGUCUCCAGUUUCAUUAGCGGGCUUAGAGAAGAAAUUAGGCAUGGUCAAGAUGUUCAAACCUGAGCUUUUAAUAGAAGCAUUUGACGUAGACAAAUUAGACAAGGGGGUAGGCAGAAUGUGGACUCCAUAUUUGAAUUAUAUAAAAUCAAAAUUGGCCAUGGUAUUGGAACUAAUAGCUAUAGGCUCCCUCAUUGUCGAGUUGAAAAAGGAGCUUCUGCUAAUCAGGAUUCUAGUCCUAACAUCAUAUAGAAAAUUUUACCAUCCAAUACCAGAGGAAUAAUAAUUUUUGUUUCAAGUGGUGCCAACAAAUUUGGAGCAGGAUAUCAAAGUAAAAUGAAGCAGCUGCAUCUGAUGGCAGAAGACGAAGAGGAGGAAAUUGAGUUUGCAGAUGUCCAAGGGAAGCAAGAUGAGGUAACCACCAGUAAUAUUGGGGUUGUGGUAGACAUGUCAUUUCAUACUUUGUCUUCUGGGCUCAAAAGAAAGACCAUUACUCUACAACAGGUUAUGAGAAGUGUAGUAGUGAACGUAUUGGUGGACACUGGAAGUUCUGAUAGCUUUAUCAGUCACAGCUUAGCAAAAGAUUCUGAUGACUAAGUUACUAAAAAUUUGGUACGUAAGCUAAUUGUAGUCGGAGAGUAAGUGCAUUCCACAUGACAAUUUGGGCUUUUAUAGGAGUGUUGUGGCACAUUAGGUAAAUGUUGGAAACAAAAUGUAAAUAUUGGUGAAGUGAGACGGAUCUAGACGAACACCAAGUUGAGUGGAUUUGCGGAACUUUGACCCUGCUAGAAUCACGAGCCACGAACUAAGGAGAAUCCUUAACCCAAGACUAGCCAGUUUAGUGAACCAAAGUAUAUUUAGAAGAACGCCACAAUCAAGGAGACUACUUGAUUGAUAAGUUCGAUGAACAACUUGAGAUUAAUUCUCAAGUAUUCAAAGGAAAUUCCCUUGAAGCAAGAGAGAGUGAAUAAACUCACAAUUAUGUUAUAAAAUCCGAAUUCUGUCCCCUAAUGAAUGAAAACCUAGGCUAUAUAUAGCCUUACAAGACAAAACCCUAACUCGGCUAGGCUAGGCCUUUGGCCCGAUUCCACUACUCAAAUCCACUAUCUAAUGGUCAGCUUAUAAUUGAUCCAAUGAAGGCUUUAAGCUGGCCCAACAUAACCCAAUAAAAGCUAAUUAACCAACUUAAGUUAUAGUGAGCCUAGACUCUAUAAAUCGGAUCCAACUCAACAUGAGGUCUUGGACCGAAUUUAUUCAUAGCAAAUAAAAUAGAAAUCUAGAAAAUAAACUACUAACUAUUACUAAAAGAUUCAAUCUCUUGCAGCCCAAAACAUGGCCCAUAAGCGGCCCAUAUUUCGUAUCAUUCCCCUCCUCUUGAAAAAGAUUUGUCCUCAAAUCGUGUUUGGAAAUGAAUAGUACUACAAGAAUUGGCAGUAUGAAACUUCAAAUCUCCACAUAUUGGCUCUCUUAGAAUGAAUGAUACUUGCAUACGUCAUGAUUAUUGUAAUUCGGUGCACAUGUCUCUUGGUCAGCUUGAAAAUGCUCACAAUCUGCCAUGGGAAACUCAAGGCUUGAAUCCAACCACUCCAAAGUUCUCUAAGCAGUCCUGUGUCAUGAAUGGUCGACUUUGGACCUACACAAUAAAUCACACGAUUAGCAUUUGUAGGUAUAAAAUCACUUGAUAGCUUACCAUUCACAUUCACAAGAUAAGGAUCUUCAUAGUGAUGCUCAAUCAGGUUAGAAAAGUCCCGGACAUGAUUUUGCAAAGUUACAAAAUUCAUUGCAAGUGGUUGUUGGUAUGGCCUAUCUUGCACAAAUGGAGUAAGAUCGAGAUAGGCAGCUUCUGAACCUUCAAAUUGAGGAAUAAAAUCAGGUUGUAAGGAAUCAGAAUUUGGACCAAUGAGGAAAGGAUUGUCACCAACAAAAUAAGAAGGAAAUGUAUAACAAGUUUCAAGUGUAGAAACUCCCUUUGAAACUUCAUUAUUCCUCCCAACAAGCAAAUCAGGCUCAUGGUUGACGUUGAACAUCAGUGGAUGACAAAGAGAGACAACACUUAAGGUGCAAACUCCAUGAAAAGUUUGAUAUUCACCAAUGGAUUUAGGCAUAGAACAUGCCAAGAUCAACUCAAUUUUUCCUUGCUUAACCUGCAUAAAAGUAGAAACACUAAACAAAGUAGAGUCAAGAUCGUUAGAAAAAACAUAUGGUCUCACAUCCUUUCUCACAAUCAACUUACUCUUAGAAUUUUUAAUCUCUUGUUCAUGCUCAGUAGCUGACUUUUUCCCCUCAUUAUUCUCAACCUCUUUCUCCUUUUCAACUCCCUCGAAUUUUACCUCUUCAGUCACAAUUCUCUCCUCCAGCUCUUUCUUCAUACUAUAACGCUCAUGCUCACUCUUCAUGUAUGUUAGAUCAAUACAAAGUUGCUUAGAGUUAAGCGACACAAGCCUGGUACGACGGCCAUUAAAUGUGAAGGAAUACUUAUUAGUAUAUCCAUCAUAUUUGACUUCUCGAUUAAACAUCCACCAUUGUCCCAACAGUACAUGCGUCACUUGAAUGGGAACCACAUCACACAACACCUCAUCCACGUAUUGCCCAAUACGAAAAGGAACAAGUGUGUGCUUAGUAAUCCAAAUAUCACCACUAUCACUUUGCAACUUGUAAGGUCGAAGAUGAUCAAUGGUUGGAAGAUUCAAUUUCUCAACCAAGACAGUACUUGCGAGAUUAACCUCACAACCCUUAUCAAUGGCUAAGCUGCAAACUUUAUCCUUGAUAUGGCAACGUGUAUAAAACCAAUCAUUUUUUUUAGCUUUGAUGAUUUCCAAUUGCUCAGUUAUCUCACGCAAUGCCACAGUAUUUACUUCUUUAGGCACAAGAUGGUGAAGCUCCAGUUGAGCAUUCGUUUGACUCAUACUUUUAUUACCUGCAAAACUCAACAAAAAUUAGUAGAACAGUCCUCACUCGCUCCCUUAAGUGUUUCACUCCUCUCGUGUUUUCACUCAAGUGUGUAUGGCACUCUAAUGCUCUCACCAAUUCACUUCUCAAACCACUUGUUUGUUUCCUUUGAAGAAAUCAGAAAUUUUCUCAAGGAAGUUCAAUCAAACUUUAAUCAAUAUAGCUCCCAAUUGUAUCAAAGGAACAAGGAAACAAAAAGUAGAAAUGGAAAGCUCAAGUAAUGAAUAAGGAAUGGAAGAGGAAAAAAUUGAUGUACAAAGAAAAAGAAAGUCCAAGUACGAUGAUGGAGUUCCCAAGUGCUUUACUUAAUUGCCCAAUUGAUUUUUGGAAACAAGUUAGGUGUUGGACUUAUUUGGAAAUUUCCUUAAAGUCGGCUAACCAAACAGAAUUAUUACCAAAAUUUUUCCAGAUUCCCUCUCCAAAAACCUUCCUAAAGUCGGCUAUAACAAAUCAGAAUUGUUCCCAAAAAAAUUCCAGAUUUCCUUCUCUUUUGAAACCUUCCAAAGUCGGCUGCAAAACAGAAUUUGGUAGCUAAAAAAAUUUCCAGAUUUCUGCUCCUUUUAAACCUUCCAAAGUCGGCUGCAAAACAGAAUUUGGUAGCUUAAAAAUUUCCAGAUUUCUGCUCCUUUUAAACCUUCCAAAGUCGGCUGCAAAACAGAAUUUGGUAGCUUCCUAACCGUUGAAAAUUUCCAGAUUUGUUACCUUAUCAAAUCAGAAUUGCUUCCACGAAAAAAAUUCCAGAUUUCUUGUCUUCUUGAAGCCUUCAAAAAGUCGACUAUCCCUCACUAAAAUUUCCUCUCUCCAGCCGCCCUUAGCUUGCCAACAAUUCGGCCUUUCUCUUUCAAGACGCAACGCACAAUUCUGUUCUCUCUUCCUUAGACAAGGCCACGGCAGUUUUGUUUCUUGUUUCAAGGAAAUGGCUUCUCAAGACCACGAGAGUAUUGUCACUCAAGAGUCCCCCAAGCGGCUUGCUCAAGAAAUUCCCAAGAGAUUUACUCCUAAACCAAGGAAGCCCCGUAUGGAUGCAAGAACGUACAAGAAACUUUUUAUACGAAGGCAAGUGCAAGUUUUUAAGGCCCAAGAUAAUCAAGAACCUCAAGCAAGGGUUGUUCAAGUGAUCAAGACGCAAGGUGUUCGAGACUUUCAAGAAGAGGUGGGACAGAAUUUUUGAGUUUCUUUUCUUUUUUUUUUUCUUUUUUUUUCCUGGUGUAGUUUCUGGUUUGGUUUGGAACAAGGAGUAACAAGACAGCUUGGUCAAUAAAAUUUCGGCUUCUUUCUUUGUUGCUUGCUACCCGAAUGCCUUUUCUCUUUUCUUCUUUUUUUUUUUGACUCUAAAACACACGAUUACUUGGCUGUUUUUGGGUAAAAUUCCAGAAUGUUAAUGUCAAACCAAUGUUCUCCUUCAAUCCUCCAACAACUAUCAAGACAUGUAUCAAAGUUUCAAGACUUCAAGAUUAGUUUCAAGAAACUCAAAAAACCCUAGAUUAUUGUAGUCCCUCUUCAAGAUUCCAACCCCAAACAAGUUUAACCACAAAAAUCAGUUUAGGAAAUUAAUGAAAACAACUUGGUGGAAUAAACUAAAGUUUGGACAGAUUUGGCAAGAAACUUGCGCCCAAGGAAACCCUAGUUGCAAGUGAAAACCCUAGCCGUCGCAAAUUUUUUUUUUUUUUAAUAAUAAUCGGACUUGACACAAAGAAAGACACGACCAGAUUUGAAGACAAAUACUAGAAAACUUACGAAGAAAGAAAAGGAGAAAAACAAAGAACCUCAACAGGAUAUACUUGAUGUCGUCGACUAGCUCUGAUACCAACUGAAGUGAGACGGAUCUAGACGAACACCAAGUUGAGUGGAUUUGCGGAACUUUGACCCUGCUAGAAUCACGAGCCACGAACUAAGGAGAAUCCUUAACCCAAGACUAGCCAGUUUAGUGAACCAAAGUAUAUUUAGAAGAACGCCACAAUCAAGGAGACUACUUGAUUGAUAAGUUCGAUGAACAACUUGAGAUUAAUUCUCAAGUAUUCAAAGGAAAUUCCCUUGAAGCAAGAGAGAGUGAAUAAACUCACAAUUAUGUUAUAAAAUCUGAAUUCUGUCCCCUAAUGAAUGAAAACCUAGGCUAUAUAUAGCCUUACAAGACAAAACCCUAACUCGACUAGGCUAGGCCUUUGGCCCGAUUCCACUACUCAAAUCCACUAUCUAAUGGUCAGCUUAUAAUUGAUCCAAUGAAGGCUUUAAGCUGGCCCAACAUAACCCAAUAAAAGCUAAUUAACCAACUUAAGUUAUAGUGAGCCUAGACUCUAUAAAUCGGAUCCAACUCAAUAUGAGGUCUUGGACCGAAUUUAUUCCUAGCAAAUAAAAUAGAAAUCUAGAAAAUAAACUACUAACUAUUACUAAAAGAUUCAAUCUCUUGCAGCCCAAAACAUGGCCCAUAAGCGGCCCAUAUUUCGUAUCAAUUGGAAGUCUAGGGAGAGGACAGAUCCAAUCAAAACAAAGCUUAUUCACCAUUUUGUUCCCCUGAGCUUUGGAUUUGGAGGUACUCAUACUUUACCACCUUAAACCUUAAAAAUAUGCACCUCACACCACCAGAAAUCUAGUGAAUAUUUGAAAUCUUACCUUUGUCAAUGUUUGAAAUCUUAACUUUGUCAAGAAAAUUGAGUGUUAUAACAAUAUUGCUCUUUUGUUGAUGAAAUUAAAUAUAGUUUACUAUUAAUGCCCUUUUACUGGUGAAGAAAGUGAUUUUUUUUUAUUUAAUCUCCUCUAAGUCUAGAUGUAAUAUAUAUUAGUCCUUAUUAAAAAUUUAGUUAAGUAAUUCAUAGUUGACUAAUCUGACAAACAAAAUAUAACAAAAAUAUUCUUCUAACAAUUUACAUAAACUAAGAGAAUAAAAUAUUACGCUGUUAAGUAGUAACAAGCUUAAUAUUAUAGCAUGAUUUCAAAAUUUUGCCAACUUUAUUUAUUGUUAUUACUAUAUUAUUUUUUUAGUACUACAUUAUUUAUUAUUACUAUUAGAUUUAAAGUCCAAUAAAUUGAAAACAAUGUAUAAGAUAAAAGAACAUUAAUUCAACAUGAAUUUGAAAAGGCUUUAAGGAUAUUAAAUUGAAAAAGCUUUUUUUGGUUUUAUUAAUUUGAUUUUUUGUAUAUUAGAUACUAUAGAGAAGAUAUAAAUUUUUUAGCAACAAAAUGGCAAUAAUGAUAAAUUAUUAAUCAUUUCAGAAAUUAAAGAGCAUUAACAUCCUUAUACUCACUUUUUUCCUUAUGACAUUAAUAUUUAUAUCUUUGACUAGUUUUCAAGGCGCCAAGCAUACGAUUUUAAGGCUCGUAAUAGUAAAGUCAAAAGUGUGCCCACCCCCAAAGUUUAGCAGAGCAGAGUGUGACUGACCCUUAGCAACGAUGGAGCAAAUUGAAAAGCAUGUACUUGUUAAUGGGGCAAUUCACAAUAAAGCCUUAUAUUUAUGCGAAUACUUGCCUCUAGGAUAUCACCAACGUUGACUAUAAAAGCAUCAGGAAGUGGAAUAAUAGGAACCCAAGCUUCCUUUUCCUUGAUUUGGAGACCUUGUACAUCGUUGAUUUGAAGUAAAAUGGUGAGGCUAACAGGAUCAGAAUGAUGGCAGAGGCCUGUGACCAGCUCAGGUUGAGGACAUGGAGGCUAGUAAGUGAGCCUCAUGGAUUGCAACCCUUCUUCUAAAAGCACUUCAAUUUCUUCAUGCUUCAUUCCUAAUGCUUUUGCUAUUAGGUUGAGAAUCUUCAAGGCAAGACUUUUGAGCUGUAUAGAGUACUCUUGAAGACUUUCCCUAUGCAGCAGAACCAAGAACAUUUGAAGGAAUAUAAAGGUAACUAGCAUAAAUAUCGGUUUAGUAUCAUAACAAAAGAAAAGAAAAGUAAAUUUUGCGCACAAACUUCACUGUUAGUUUCAUGUUUUGCAGUGUUAUUGGAUUGAUUAACAUGCAAAUAAACUAUAAGGAGAACUUAGCAUACCUAAGUGUAAGUAUAAAUUUAGAUGUAUAUUAUAAUGAACUUAAAAUCAUAACUGAUUUGUUUAUUUUCAAAUUGCACAGUGAAUCAAGAUAUUUCAAUAAAUUUGAGCUCAUUGUAACCAUUUGUCACAGUGAAUUGGUGAUUUUUUAUUGUUCAACUUCAUCUUUUAUAAUAUCAGUAACAUUUUCAUCCUUAGGCCAUCCUAAAAUAUCUUAGGCCAUCCUUUUUUCUAUCUUUCUUCUCUUUAGAAAAAAGCUCUCUAAGUAAAACUCUCAUUCAACUCUCUCAUGAGAGAGACAUCAGAUUUUUCUAAUCUCUCUCCAUGUGAGGAGCUCUUUCUAUAGUUUCUUUUCAUUUAUGUGAAUAAAAUAUUUCUUAAGAUUUUCUAAUGAGAGUUUCUUCUGAUAGGUCAUAAUUUGUUAUUAAUUUUAUGGUUAAUUUUCCUCUUUGUCCUUGCCAAAUAUUGUUUUAAUUGUUGAAAUAUACUUAUAUUUGGCAUUUGGAUCUAAUUACAGGAAGUGAAGCGGAAAAGUACUAAAAAGGGUGAUUUUCUUGAGAAAAUGCCGUGCACGUGUGAAACCUUGAGAAUCCUUGCAAAUCCGGCUCCAAGAUGUGCUAACCUAAUGCCUUUCCUUUCGUGAAUAGUAGUUUACUAGCAUUAGGAAACAAGAAAGAAGGAAACUUCAGUAGUUGCCUUAUCUCUUUGUUUUCCUUAUUCGGUGGAAAAACCAACGAGCUAGGGACUAGUCAUUGUUUAGAUUAGGGAGAUUCUUCUAUUAUUCGUCUUCGUCCCGAGGCCGCAAGACAGGAGAUAAUUCCUUCUUCGUGCCUUUACUCUUCUUGCAUGAAACAUAUUAGAUUGUUUGAUAGGGUGCAAUUUUAUUAUUUAUUUUAUUAUUAAUUUCUCUUAUUACCUGACUCGAUAUGGAUUAAUUGCUGGAUUCUACUCACUUUUAGUAUUUUGCAUUUAUUUCAGGAAGUAGUGUGAGAACCCAUAAUUUUCUUAAUUGCUAGGUUUUAUUUUCUUUUAAUUACACGCUUUUCAACAUUUUAUUUAUUCGAAAAAUUGUGAAAAUAAUUUUUAUGAGUAAAGAUGGUUUUGAAAUCAUUUUUUCCGAGUAUAAGUUAGUUUAUAAGAUUUUAAGAGUGUAUAUCGGACGUAGGACCCACUAGUGCGGUAAGUUCGAUAAAAUUCGGCCAAUUAGAUUAAGUUUUGUAUACAGGAAUUAAUUUACUAGGUGUUAGUAAGAUAAGGGAAAGAAUUGGAGGAUAGGAACAUGAUUUGGCAAAGAUUAGUGAGAGAAUGGCAAAGAUGGUGCCAAGUGGCAAGACACCAACCAUGUAACUUAUUUGACCAAAGAAUUUGAUGAAUUAAAACUAUUUUUUUUUUGCUCCAUUUCCUUCAUAAGCUGGCCAGCCAUCUUGGAGCAGCAAAGGAGAAGAAGAAACUCCAUUUUCUUGCUCUUUACUCUUAGUUUAAUCUUAGGAAAAAAAAUCAAAAGUGAAGGAGUGAGUUAGUGAGUGAAAUCCAUCCAACUCUAGUGUGUGAUCUUCAAGCCUUGAAGCUUUUGGUUGGUGGUUGUUUUGGGUGACUUAAUCAACUUGUAAGAGAGGUAUGUGAUCUUUAAUCCUUGCUUUUAUGGUGUUAUAUUAAGUAUUUAAAGGUUUGAGGGUAAACUAGAAGUUGUAUGGAUGCUUCCUAUGGCUAAAUCUCUUGAAUUAGUGAAGUGGUAGUUGGGUUGGUUAAGUGGCCUACCAUGUGUUUGAUUAAUUGUUAAAGUUUUGAUUCAUGGUUUUAGAUAGAGUUAACACUUGGUAUGUCGGUUAAGAGGAAAACACUGAAAGGAUGAAGCAAGAAAAGUAGUGGUAUGCACUAAUAGCCCAAAUUUCAGAUUUCUGAAAAUUCAAACUUCAGUUCUGCCCGGUUCCAGUUCUUGAUGUUACAGGCUGAAUUAGGCUUAGCACAAAACAUAAAAGUUGUAGAGAAUGAUAUUUUCUAGUUGGCUACAAAAUUUCAGCCAAAUCAGAGCAAUGUAGCCUGUGAAAAAACCGAAAUACCCUUGCUUCCCUGUUUCUGUCCGAAACUGAUAAUCAGCUUCUGUAAUUGGUUAGUUUGACCGGGAAUACUACUGAUUUGGUUAUCGAAGUCUUCUUAAGAAUUAUAGCCUUGUAUCUUAGCUUUCAAAUGGCUUUAUAUUACCUGAAUCGGAGUUGUGUGUGCUGAGAUAUGCUUGAAUGAAUCAGGACUGCUAGUGGAAUUUCACAGUGAGCUUUGAACUGGAAAAUCUGGAGUUGUUUUGGUACCUUUGACCUAGUUAGGAUGAGAACUAGACUAAGUGGUUUUCAUCAAAGUUAUAGCCCUCUGUCUUAGUUUCGAAACGGUAUAACUUGUGCUUCAAUCUAAUAAGCGUAGUUUCGGUUAGGUCCAAUACGCUAAGUAGCGGUGAAUCUGCUUUUUUGGUUUCCUAGCUUAAAGCUCAUUUCCGGUCAUUUUCCUAGCUAAAUCUUGUACUUGAAUGACUUUGAGCCUAUUGAACGGCUGUUGUGAUGAAUUUAUAUUGCGUAUAACUUUGGGAUUGAUUGAGGGAAAUAAUGAAGCCAUAAGUGGUUGGAAAAGUAGGUAAAUACAGAGGGCAUGUGUGACGCCCCGCGGCAGAAGAAAAGGGGAAAAAUUUCUGGUGAAUAGUGUUUUGUGGAGAAUCCGGCCAGAAGCCGUGCAAAUUCUUUAUAUUUUUCUUAAAAAUUCCCUUUUCUUUGACAAAUAUCACUUUAUAAUGGCCCUACUACUCAAUCACCCCACAAUAAGUGCCAAUGAACCUGGAAAGUAGGGUUUCACUUUUAGUUUCAAGAUUGGAGCAAAAUUAGGGUUUACGCGAUUUUCGCCGGAUGAAUUUUCGGUACGAAGCAAGGAUCAAAUUUGGUGAUCAAAAAUGACUUUUAAGUGAGAAAUAAUAUGUGAUUAGUAGCAAUGAUAUAAGGUUAGUGAAUGGGAAGUAAAAACCCUAAUACGUGUGUUUUUAAGAAAAACGGCGCGAACCGGCGGGUCCCGCGCACUACCGGUUGAACGCACCACUUGACCACCACUUUCUUACCAUACAAGCUUAUUGACUUUUGAGCAAAAUAUCUUCUUGUUUGGCAGCUGCUUUGACCGAAAAUUUGAGGCUAGAAAAUAGCAAGGAAGAAAGAGAAAAAUGAAAGGUGGUGGUGGCGACACUUGUCGCCACCCUAAAGUUUCUUGGCCAAGUGAUUAACUAGCCUUCUUAAACCAAUUUUCUGCACUUUCCUCUUCAUUUUUCCAGCAGCUGGUCGACCAAGAGGGAGAGAGAAAGUGAGAGCAAGAAACAAUUCCUUCUUCUUGAUUCUAACCAACCAAGUGACAAAUUAAAUUUCUAAACCGAUUAAACUUACCUUUGAGUGAUUAGUUAGUGAUUGUUGAUGAAAUUUUGGAAAGAGAAAGCUUGGGCUACACUUGGUGAACUCUAAUCAAGGUAAGGAAGAUGAUAUCUCUAAAUUUUACUUUCAAUCUUGUUUAAAUUAAGCUUAGUAACUUGAUUUGUGGUGGAAUCAUGGAUGCUAUCAUGUUUUGGAAGUUUUUCCCUUUUUAUAUGAUGAACUAGGGUUUGAGGAAUUUCUGCCCAAUUUGGUGUAUGAUGCAUAUAUGUUGUAAUUAAGUUUAUAGAAGGGGUUUUGGUAGUGAUUGAAGUGAGAAAUUAAGGAAGAUUGCAUUAAAAACUAAAAAUUCCAGAUUUCUGGAAAUUCUUGCUUCCAUUCUGUCCGGUUUUGUAACUGUAUGUUGGAGGCCGAAUUGGCCUUAGGUCAAAGAAUAAAAGUUGUAUAGAAUGGUAUUUUAUAGGUGCUUACAAAAUUUCAGCUCAAUCGGAUCAACAUAGGUCAUGAAAAGUCCAAAAUACCCUUACUGUUUUAUGUUUUUCCCCAGCAGUCCGUGUGAUCCGUUUGUCCAGUUUAUCACGUUUUUUGACUGGGAUUCGUACUGAUUUAGCUUUUUACUAAAACAUGAAAGUUGUAGUAUUCCGACUUAGCUUUCAAAUUCCCCUAAGAACACCUGAUUCGGACUUUUGUACUCUGAGAUAUGACCAUUACAGGGUAAUGCGGUUAUAUAGCCGACGAAUUGGUUUCUGGUUUAGUAAUUUGAGGAUUUGACUAAGUUACAUUAGGAACUGGACUAAGUGACCUUCAUGAACAUUGUAGCUCUGUGUCUUAGCUUCGAAACGGCAUAGGUUACGCCUCAAUCCGAUAAGCGUAGCCUCGGAUAUGUUAUUUCCGCAUUCGUACGUCAAAUCUAUCUUGUGCUAAGUUGAAUUUCUGCACUUGUGAUUGUUGUGAAUCUUGUUUUUAUGAUAUUGUGAGCCUAUGGAAUGGCUCUUGGCUUGAAUUGUUUAUAUGUGUGAUGUUGGGUUGUGGUUGAAGAAAAAUAAUGAAGCCUAAAUGGCUGGAAAUUAGGUAAACACAAAGGGCAUGCUGUCCGAAUUGACACUCGAGGACUAGGAAAUGAGACUUGUAACUUGUGUAAAGGUUAAGUGAUUAUUACUUGAACUAGCAAGCACCUUUGCUACUUUGUUUAUCGAGGGUUAUACAUUAGGACUUGGCCGAACUUGCACCCUUGAGGAAAAGACAUAAUGGCCAAUGUAAACUUGUAUUUCCUUGUACUUUCAACUCAAGUGUUAUUUCCAAGUAUCCAUACUACAAAACCUUAUGAUUUGAAAAGCGAGCAAGUGUUUCACGAAUGCCUUUCAAAUGAAUUUCAAUUGGUUGAUUCUUAAUGAACGGAACGUUUAAGUUUCGAAUCUUACUCGUGUUUCAAAUUCUCAAAUUGGAUUUUUAUCGCAGAGCUGGACUUCAAACCUGGAGUAUAGUUGAACGUGAAUACUUGAAGCACUAUAUUUUGUGUGAGUGAUCCCUCGACUGUUCCCAAAGUUACUUUGAACUAAUUCUUGCAUUUAUUACUCCAUUGCAUAUCAUUUGGGGUUCGGGUGUGUGCCAUGACAUAAUUUGGCUCCAAUGAGUUCUUGGAAAGUCUUGUGCUUAGAACCAAUGUCUCAACUAUUGUUUACACAUUCUUUGGAGCCCGAUGGCUCCUUACCUCUGUUUCACAGUUACCUGAUCUAAACGAGCGUUGGAUAUUUAAGUACAAGAACUUCACUGGCUCACAUGAGCAAUAAAUGAACAUUUGAUUACUGCAUCAUGACAUCAUAUCAAUGCUUUAUUGUGAAACAUACUUGGCUGCUGAUUUUACUGGUCACUCGCUGAGCUUUUAGCUCACCCCCUAUUAUCUUCUUCUCCCCACAAGGAUCGAGGUAAAGGAAGAACUUGUAUUUGGAUCUUUGUGUGGCUGGAUGGCGUACAUCUUGUAUAGUUUAGAUUUGGUUUUGGUUUAUGUACCUUUGGGCCUGUAUAAAUAUUUGAAAUUGAAUCGAAUGUAUAUCUACAUUCUACGCUUAGAACUAGUUUCCGCUUCGCUUAUGAUAUGUAAAUUUGGAGAAUUGGAUGUAUUAUUUGAGUUGUACCUUGUAAUUUACUUGAGGAAUGUAGUAAGUGAGUGAGUCCCGGCGAGAGCUGGGCAGGCGGCCCGCCAAACCCUCUGGUACGCCUUAGGGGGAGGUGGGGUCGUCACAAAUGGUAUCAGAGCUUAGGCUUCAGAUCUUUGUAGUGUAUCCUAGGCUUAAAGUUUAGGAUGCCGGACUGUGGGAUUGGUUUGUACGUUCAGUGCUCUUUUGGAGCGUCAGUUGUGAAUCUUGAAAAUGGUACGGGUAAGAUAUGAUUUGGUUGAAUUACGCUUGAGAGCGUACGACCUGAGCUGUACAAUUUCUUAGUUUUGAAUUCUUGGCUAGGGUUUUGAUAGAUUAUGGUGGUGGCUGGAAUUGUUGAGAAAAGUUUUGGUUUAUAUUUUUCUUCUAUUUUUCCUGUUUGAUUAAGGUUACACCACCCGACUGGUAAAUGUUAAGAUUUGAGAUAUUUGAACUGUCUAAGACCGACUAGACUGAGCUCAUUUGAGACUUGAAUUUGAAUCGGCUAGUGUACCCUUACAUACACUUGAUAGACCUGACCUAACUGAAAAUAGGGUAUCUCUUUUACUCUUGAGUAAGUAUCUUGAUUCAUAUAUGAUCUGUAUGUGGAUUUGAGUUUGAUGACUGCUUGAGAGUGUGAAUUACUGGGCAUAAGCUAGGCAAGUGAGUUCCUACUCGUAUUCAUGUUCUUUGAAUCUGAAAUAAUUGACCCUGCUUUUGAACCGAUAUACUUGAACCCUGUUUUUGACUCUGUUUCUGAACAUUUUCGUACUUGUUUGGUUGUAGACCGGCUACUACUCCUCUGUAGCGGUUGAACUGAACCUCUCUGAUGAGGUAUUGCCUGUUGUGUUACCAAGCACCGCCAUUCUCCUAGCGAGGCAUACCUGUUGUGUUUCCAAGCACUAUCAGGGAUGAAAUUCUUGAACUGAACCUCUCUGAUGAGGUAUUGCCUGUUGUGUUACCAAGCACCGCCAUUCUUUUGGCGAGGCAUACCUGUUGUGUUUCCAAGCACCAUCAGGGAUGAAACUUUGACUUGAAGCUCUCUGGUGAAGUUUAGCCGUUGUGCUAACUUGUUGUGUUUCCAAGCACCACCAGGGUCAAUUUCUUGAGCUAAGAUCCUCUGGUGAAGUUUAGCCGUUGUGCUAACUUGUUGUGUUUCCAAGCACCACCAAGGAUGAAAUUUUGAACUGAGGUUCUCUGGCGAGGUAUAGCCGUUGUGCUAACCUGUUGUGUUGUCCAGCACCGCCAUAGACAAAAUCUUGCAUCUGAGGCUCUGGUGAAGUUUAGCCGUAGUGCUAGCUUGUUGUAUUUUCAAGCACCACCGGGGACAAACUCCUGAGACUUUCUGGUGAAGUAUAGCUGAGUGCUAGCUUGUUGUGUUUUCAAGCACCAUCAGGGGUAAUUUCUAAUCUGAGACAUCGUUAUGUUCUGGAUUGUUUUUCCAAAUAUCAGGGACUUUAAGUCCGAUUUCGAGCCUUUUGUAUAUGUAUCCAGUUACUCGUCUGACUAUUUAUUGGAUCAAAGAUUAUUUGAUAAGUUGGAUUGGAGUACUUUUAGUACUUGAUUGUGAUGAGUGAUUCUUAGUAUGUGAUUAACCAUUGAGAUAUUUGAUCUGAUUAGUAUUUGAUUAUGAUAAGCAAGAUUGACAUGAUUCUUAAUGCGUGAUCGACUUUCGAGAACUAUUUUGAUCUGAUUAGUACAAGUUGAAAUGUCGAGGACGACAUUCUUUUAAGGAGGGGAGUUUGUGACGCCCCGCGGCAGAAGAAAAGGGGAAAAAUUUCUGGUGAAUAGUGUUUUGUGGAGAAUCCGGCCAGAAGCCGUGCAAAUUCUUUAUAUUUUUCUUAAAAAUUCCCUUUUCUUUGACAAAUAUCACUUUAUAAUGGCCCUACUACUCAAUCACCCCACAAUAAGUGCCAAUGAACCUGGAAAGUAGGGUUUCACUUUUGGUUUCAAGAUUGGAGCAAAAUUAGGGUUUACGCGAUUUUCGCCGGAUGAAUUUUCGGUACGAAGCAAGGAUCAAAUUUGGUGAUCAAAAAUGACUUUUAAGUGAGAAAUAAUAUGUGAUUAGUAGCAAUGAUAUAAGGUUAGUGAAUGGGAAGUAAAAACCCUAAUACGUGUGUUUUUAAGAAAAACGGCGCGAACCGGCGGGUCCCGCGCACUACCGGUUGAACGCACCACUUGACCACCACUUUCUUACCAUACAAGCUUAUUGACUUUUGAGCAAAAUAUCUUCUUGUUUGGCAGCUGCUUUGACCGAAAAUUUGAGGCUAGAAAAUAGCAAGGAAGAAAGAGAAAAAUGAAAGGUGGUGGAGUUUCUUGGCCAAGUGAUUAACUAGCCUUCUUAAACCAAUUUUCUGCACUUUCCUCUUCAUUUUUCCAGCAGCUGGUCGACCAAGAGGGAGAGAGAAAGUGAGAGCAAGAAACAAUUCCUUCUUCUUGAUUCUAACCAACCAAGUGACAAAUUAAAUUUCUAAACCGAUUAAACUUACCUUUGAGUGAUUAGUUAGUGAUUGUUGAUGAAAUUUUGGAAAGAGAAAGCUUGGGCUACACUUGGUGAACUCUAAUCAAGGUAAGGAAGAUGAUAUCUCUAAAUUUUACUUUCAAUCUUGUUUAAAUUAAGCUUAGUAACUUGAUUUGUGGUGGAAUCAUGGAUGCUAUCAUGUUUUGGAAGUUUUUCCCUUUUUAUAUGAUGAACUAGGGUUUGAGGAAUUUCUGCCCAAUUUGGUGUAUGAUGCAUAUAUGUUGUAAUUAAGUUUAUAGAAGGGGUUUUGGUAGUGAUUGAAGUGAGAAAUUAAGGAAGAUUGCAUUAAAAACUAAAAAUUCCAGAUUUCUGGAAAUUCUUGCUUCCAUUCUGUCCGGUUUUGUAACUGUAUGUUGGAGGCCGAAUUGGCCUUAGGUCAAAGAAUAAAAGUUGUAUAGAAUGGUAUUUUAUAGGUGCUUACAAAAUUUCAGCUCAAUCGGAUCAACAUAGGUCAUGAAAAGUCCAAAAUACCCUUACUGUUUUAUGUUUUUCCCCAGCAGUCCGUGUGAUCCGUUUGUCCAGUUUAUCACGUUUUUUGACUGGGAUUCGUACUGAUUUAGCUUUUUACUAAAACAUGAAAGUUGUAGUAUUCCGACUUAGCUUUCAAAUUCCCCUAAGAACACCUGAUUCGGACUUUUGUACUCUGAGAUAUGACCAUUACAGGGUAAUGCGGUUAUAUAGCCGACGAAUUGGUUUCUGGUUUAGUAAUUUGAGGAUUUGACUAAGUUACAUUAGGAACUGGACUAAGUGACCUUCAUGAACAUUGUAGCUCUGUGUCUUAGCUUCGAAACGGCAUAGGUUACGCCUCAAUCCGAUAAGCGUAGCCUCGGAUAUGUUAUUUCCGCAUUCGUACGUCAAAUCUAUCUUGUGCUAAGUUGAAUUUCUGCACUUGUGAUUGUUGUGAAUCUUGUUUUUAUGAUAUUGUGAGCCUAUGGAAUGGCUCUUGGCUUGAAUUGUUUAUAUGUGUGAUGUUGGGUUGUGGUUGAAGAAAAAUAAUGAAGCCUAAAUGGCUGGAAAUUAGGUAAACACAAAGGGCAUGCUGUCCGAAUUGACACUCGAGGACUAGGAAAUGAGACUUGUAACUUGUGUAAAGGUUAAGUGAUUAUUACUUGAACUAGCAAGCACCUUUGCUACUUUGUUUAUCGAGGGUUAUACAUUAGGACUUGGCCGAACUUGCACCCUUGAGGAAAAGACAUAAUGGCCAAUGUAAACUUGUAUUUCCUUGUACUUUCAACUCAAGUGUUAUUUCCAAGUAUCCAUACUACAAAACCUUAUGAUUUGAAAAGCGAGCAAGUGUUUCACGAAUGCCUUUCAAAUGAAUUUCAAUUGGUUGAUUCUUAAUGAACGGAACGUUUAAGUUUCGAAUCUUACUCGUGUUUCAAAUUCUCAAAUUGGAUUUUUAUCGCAGAGCUGGACUUCAAACCUGGAGUAUAGUUGAACGUGAAUACUUGAAGCACUAUAUUUUGUGUGAGUGAUCCCUCGACUGUUCCCAAAGUUACUUUGAACUAAUUCUUGCAUUUAUUACUCCAUUGCAUAUCAUUUGGGGUUCGGGUGUGUGCCAUGACAUAAUUUGGCUCCAAUGAGUUCUUGGAAAGUCUUGUGCUUAGAACCAAUGUCUCAACUAUUGUUUACACAUUCUUUGGAGCCCGAUGGCUCCUUACCUCUGUUUCACAGUUACCUGAUCUAAACGAGCGUUGGAUAUUUAAGUACAAGAACUUCACUGGCUCACAUGAGCAAUAAAUGAACAUUUGAUUACUGCAUCAUGACAUCAUAUCAAUGCUUUAUUGUGAAACAUACUUGGCUGCUGAUUUUACUGGUCACUCGCUGAGCUUUUAGCUCACCCCCUAUUAUCUUCUUCUCCCCACAAGGAUCGAGGUAAAGGAAGAACUUGUAUUUGGAUCUUUGUGUGGCUGGAUGGCGUACAUCUUGUAUAGUUUAGAUUUGGUUUUGGUUUAUGUACCUUUGGGCCUGUAUAAAUAUUUGAAAUUGAAUCGAAUGUAUAUCUACAUUCUACGCUUAGAACUAGUUUCCGCUUCGCUUAUGAUAUGUAAAUUUGGAGAAUUGGAUGUAUUAUUUGAGUUGUACCUUGUAAUUUACUUGAGGAAUGUAGUAAGUGAGUGAGUCCCGGCGAGAGUUGGGCAGGCGGCCCGCCAAACCCUCUGGUACGCCUUAGGGGGAGGUGGGGUCGUCACAGCAUGCUGCCCAAAAUUUUAGGACUACGCGAUUCCUUCAAUUGAGUUGAUCUUAGUACAAAUGAAGGGUUUUGGGGUUGUUUGUAACCCUAGGACCAACUGUUAGUCAUAUUUUAUUCUUUUGUACUAGUACUUAACCUGGAAAGACGUACGACAUGAAGUCGAGCCUCACUUGUACAUUCCGUUUACUCGAUUUUGAAUGUGAAACCUUCAAUUGUUUUACUUUGAUGAUUUUAGGCUUUCUUGGCGAUUAAAACCAGUUUGAAGUGAAAACUUUUGAAGUAUUUGUACUUGAACCAGUGAGUGUACCACUCCCCUCAUUUGCUGUUUAACCUGGUUUCUGCCUCUGCAAUCUGCAAUUUAAAUAACUGCACUAUCUGUUUAUUCUGUUUGAGACGACGGUGUACUUUAACACACUCGUUCUCUUGUCUGUCCAUAUGCCUAUUUACUGUGUAUAAUCUGUUAACUGUAUCUGAAUCUGUUCGGACGUCGUUUGGAGGCUGGUAUCCAACGACCUUUCUGUGACCUCUGAGCUCAACACCUGUGGCUAGUUACUCAAGUCGGGCGGACAAGGGCCUGGUCGAUUAGAUAACGAACCACGGUAGUCUAUUUUGGGAUCUUUGGGUAUUGAGACUCUUGAUUCCGGUAUACUCGAAUAUUACUAUUACUGUUCCUGAAUGGAGUUCGGGGCCGGUAGGGGUAUGUUUGGUGGACGGAAAUUGGUGUAAAAUGUGGUCUACGGAUAUGUUGGGUCUAUUUACGUUGACGGAGAGUCAACGGGUUCGGAUCAAGUACUACAAAUGGAAAUCUGGCUCCUGAGAGCCACUUGUAUCCUUUCCCUUUGAAUCACUGUGUCCAAAUGCUUUCCUUUAUAUCUGGUAUAUGUAUCUGAUUGAUUAAACGUGAAAGGCCAUGAUUUUACCCCUAUAUGUUUGGUACCUCAUUGAGCGUAAACUCACCCAUUUCUGUUGCUUUUUAUUUUCCUUACAGGGGACAAACUUGGAAAUCACGAUUUUGGAAGAAAAGAGUCAAGCUAGUAUAUAUGUCAUGUUGUUAAACUCUUUUGAAAACGAAACCCUAAUUGUAUUUUAUGUAGUAAGAGUACCUCGGAUCGCACUGUAUGUUAAUUUGUUCAAGAGUUCAAUGUAAAUAUAUGUAUAAGUAUUUAACCUUAUCUAUUAAAUGUAUUCCGUUGAGACUGAUUUUAUGGCUUGGUAGGCAUGUUCUCACCUUAGUAGUUUCCGCGCGUACUAUGUUGGGUUUGUGUGAAUCGACUCCAUAGUCCUGGUAAGAGUUGGACAGGCGGUCCAUCGAAUCCUUUGGUUCGCCUUAGGGUUAGGUGCGGCUAUCACAGGUGGUAUCAGAGCCACUUCGCAUGGUCUCUGCGCGGAGUGAACUUGGGCCAAGUGGUGUUACGGUACUGAUUUCAUGAAUAUGUCUAAGUGCUCGUUUGAGCAUAAGUUAUGAACCGGGCAUGUUAUAAGUGUAAAAAUCUUUAUCAUGGAACUUGAGGAAGAUAGAUAUGUAUGUCGGGUAGGAAUCUAAAAUAUGGAUGAUUUACUCUUGGGACCAGCCGGCUCGAGUUGUGAAUUAUCUUAGAUGGAAUUCUUGCGCCCAGAUACGAAAGAGAUGAGAGCCUAGGUUAGAAAAGAUUUAAGCGAACUAGAAAUGCGAUUCUAUGGAACUUCGUGUGGUUUGUUCAGGGGUGGUUAAGCAUGAUCAAUCUUGAUUAAGAUAUAAAUGGUUUUGUUCUCGUAGAUUAUGGACGGAGCCCUAGAGGGGGAAAAGCUUUUCGUUAGUUAUUUUUGUACUUGUGACCUAGCCUGUCUGUAGUACUUUUGGAUGACCCCGCUAUUUUCAUGGAUCUCUCAUAUUUGUAUCUAAUUGACUGCUACUGUGUGACUGGUUCGGUACAGUUGUGUAUAUAUAUGCUUUUGAUCUGUAUGUACCUCUUGUUAUUUGCUUAUGCCUAUAAUUAUCUUUAACAUUAUCCUUGCACCUCGACCCUAGAUUGAUUUAGAUCAAUGGAGGGCACUCGUAGUGGACGAGUCCGUGGGCAUGGAAUUAGGCAACCCACGUCUGAAAGGGGCACUGGGGAAAUCUCGUUCGGACCAAACCCUGAACCUAGGGUUGAUCCCAACGUCCAAAUAGCUACUGCCAUUCAGCAAAUGACUGAUUUGCUAGCUCAAGUGGUGCACCAACAGGGUCACAACCCUAACCCCAACCCUGGGAACCCUGGUAAUCACGUGGAGAGCGAGGACCGGGCCCUCAAGAGGUUCCAGAAGUUUGCCCCACCAAAGUUUAUUGGGGGACCUGAUCCAGAUGUAGUCGAAAGGUGGCUAGAGAAAAUGGUGGAUAUCUUUGCUGCCCUGCACUACACGGAGGAACGGCAGGUGACUUUUGCUGUUUUCUAGUUGGAAGAGGCGGCCCGUUCCUGGUGGAACGUAAUACGACAAAAGUGGGACCGAGAGCAAACGCCCAAGAUUUGGGUGAACUUUAUGCGGGAGUUCAACACUAAAUUCUUCCCUCCUCUAGUUCAGGAAUAAAAGGAUGAUGAAUUUAUCCGACUUCGUCAAGGGAUCCAGACAGUGGCCGAGUACGAGAGCCAAUUCACUCGGCUGUCCAAAUUCGUGCCCGAACUCAUCGUGAUCGAGCAACGAAGAAUACGGCGAUUCGUCCAGGGUCUAAACGUGGAGAUCCAGAAAGAUCUAGCCGUAGACCAAAUUAACGCCUUCAGCGAUGCCGUAGAGAAGGCGCAACGAGUAGAGAAUGCUAGGCUGCAGGUAAAAAACUUCCAAGCCAAGAAAAGGGGCUUUCCUGGGAGUAGCUCUGAGCAAGAAGGUACAAGUACGCCUCCUAAGAUUGGAAAGGGAAACGGGGGAGUACGACAACCAGGGGUGUCACGUGAUGUCUCUCAGGGGGGACCGGUCUCUGCUACUCGUGGUCCCUGUGGAUAUUGCGGAGGACUAAAUCAUACGGAGGCAAAUUAUUGGAAGAAAGAGAGAAAAUGUCUGCACUGUGGAAGUACCGAUCAUCGGAUUGUUGACUGCCCAGUUCGAUUGCGAAAAGGAAAAGGGACUCCGCAACCAACUAAGACUAACCCUGGACAGUCGGAAAAGGAAGGGACUGGAUUAAAGGUACCGGCUCGGGUAUAUUCUUUAGAGCACCAUCAAGUUCCUGACUCGUCAGAGGACGUAGAAGGUACGAUCCAUUGGGUACCUUAGAUUUUGAAAGAUUCCGUUGAUAAGAAAAUUUCGAGGACAAAAUUUCUUUAAGGGGGAGAGAGUGUGAGAACCGGUAAUUUUCUUAAUUGCUAGGUUUUACUUUCUUUUAAUUGCACGCUUUUUCACAUUUUAUUUAUUCAAAAAAUUGUGAAAAUAAUUUUUAUGAGUAAAGAUGGUUUUGAAAUCAUUUUUUCCGAGUAUAAGUUAGUUUAUAAGAUUUUAAGAGUGUAUAUCGGAUGUGGGACCCACUAGUGCGGUAAGUUCGAUAAAAUUCGGCCAAUUAGAUUAAGUUUUGUAUACAGGAAUUAAUUUACUAGGUGUUAGUAAGAUAAGGGAAAGAAUUGGAGGAUAGGAACAUGAUUUGGCAAAGAUUAGUGAGAGAAUGGCAAAGAUGGUGCCAAGUGGCAAGACACCAACCAUGUAACUUAUUUGACCAAAGAAUUUGAUGAAUUAAAACCAUUUUUUUUUUUUGCUCCAUUUCCUUCAUAAGCUGGCCGGCCAUCUUGGAGCAGGAAAGGAGAAGAAGAAACUCCAUUUUCUUGCUUUUUACUCCUAGUUUAAUCUUAGGGAAAAAAAAAUCAAAAGUGAAGGAGUGAGUUAGUGAGUGAAAUCCAUCCAACUCUAGUGUGUGAUCUUCAAGCCUUGAAGCUUUUGGUUGGUGGUUGUUUUGGGUGCCUUAAUCAACUUGUAAGAGAGGUAUGUGAUCUUUAAUCCUUGCUUUUAUGGUGUUAUAUUAAGUAUUUAAAGGUUUGAGGGUAAACUAGAAGUUGUACGGACGCUUCCUAUGGCUAAAUCUCUUGAAUUAGUGAAGUGGUAGUUGGGUUGGUUAAGUGGCCUACCAUGUGUUUGAUUAAUUGUUAAAGCUUUGAUUCAUGGUUUUAGUUAGAGUUAACACUUGGUAUGUUGGUUAAGAGGAAAACAAUGAAAGGAUGAAGCAAGAAAAGUAGUGGUAUGCACUAAUAGCCCAAAUUUCAGAUUUCUGGAAAUUCAAACUUCAGUUCUGCCCGGUUCCAGUUCUUGAUGUUAGAGGCCGAAUUAGGCUUAGCACAAAACAUGAAAGUUUUAGAGAAUGAUGUUUUCUAGUUGCCUGAAAAAUUUUAGCCCAAUCAGAGUAACGUAGCCUGUGAAAAAACUGAAAUACCCUUGCUUCCCUGUUUCUGUCCGAAACUGAUAAUCAGCUUCUGUAAUUGGUUAGUUUGACCGGGAAUACUACUGAUUUGGUUGUCGAUGUCUUCUUAAGAAUUAUAGACUUGUAUCUUAGCUUUCAAAUGGCUUUGGAAUUACCUGAAUCGAAGUUGUGUGUGCUGAGAUAUGCUUGAAUGAAUCAGGACUGCUAGUGGAAUUUCACAGUGAGCUUUGAACUGGAAAAUCUGGAGUUGUUUUGGUACCUUUGACCUAGUUAGGAUGAGAACUAGACUAAGUGGUCUUCAUCAAAGUUAUAUCCCUCUGUCUUAGUUUCGAAACGGUAUAACUUGUGCUUCAAUCCAAUAAGCGUAGUUUCGGUUAGGUCCGAUACGCUAAGUAGCGGUGAAUCUGCCUUUUUGGUUUCCUAGCUUAAAGCUCAUUUCCGGUCAUUUUCCUAGCUAAAUCUUGUACUUGAAUGACUUUGAGCCUAUUGAACGGCUGUUGUGAUGAAUUUAUAUUGCGUAGGACUUUGGGAUUGAUUGAGGGAAAUAAUGAAGUUAUAAGUGGUUGGGAAAAUAGGUAAAUACAAAGGGCAUGCUAUGAAUUUUCCCUCAGUCACACGCGGCUUUUAUCUUUUGACUAACAUAACUAUGAAGAAUUUUUCAAGUGUUGGGAAUUCAAGGAUCAUAAAAAAGUGUUUCCUCCAAAAAAAAAAGGGGAACAUAAACUAGUGCAAGAAAUUAGACAAUUUCCUCACGUUUUAAAAUGCUACUUGCCGUCAGAAUAUGUGGAUAAAUUUUAUUUACAACUAAUUUAACUUUAAUAAACAAAUCGAAGUUGUUGAAUAAUUGAAACAAUUUGUAAUAUAGGUAGAAGCUUUCUUGCUUAUUUUUCUUCAAGUCAAGCCACGACCAGAUGGAAGCUUCUUACAAUUACGACUACGCGACUAGAUCAAUUAGUGGUCCAAGUCUUCAACUGUGUCUCUCUUGACCAAGUCAUGCAAGAUUGAUUCAUCAGCAUUCAAUUCAACUCAACAACGUGAAGACUAAGGAAACUAAUGUACUUGACAUUAUAUAAAAGAACAAGCACGUUUUUUUAAUAAAAUAAACAAAAAAGAGCACGUUUCUAAAUGAGAAACUACCUAAGCUGUAUCCCUAAAGUCAACUAGGAAAUUAAUAAAUCGUCAUUAGUGAUGAAAGUGAAGGCAAAUAGCUAAGAAAAAUAAUGUUUUUUUUUUCUUCCGAAUCCCAAAGAGCUUACGUCAAUUUUUACAAAUCUAAACCCGAGGAAACCCCAAAAGCUUAUGAAAAAUAAUGUUCUAAAUAACCAAAAAAUGUCCUAUACAGAAUCAUUUCGAGAUACUAUAAUCUCAUGCUGUUAACCCUAAAAUAUAAUGAAACCACCAAAAUUAGUGAGCAGGUUAUAUAAUCUUUUGCCUCUAUUUUAUUAAGUUCUACCAAUUGGCAUAAAUAAUGGGUGGUGUAUGAAUUGAAGAAGGGCAUGCACGUCGUUCACUUUCUAUACGGGUGACAUUUGAAUAAUCACAAGCUUGUUUGCUGCUGCCAAAUGGGAAUUGGCUGGUGACAACAAUAGAAUUGAAUAGUAACAGUAGCAGUAAAGAUGAUGAAAUACCAAGAAGAUGAUGAUCCAUUGGAAUUUUUUGGUAACUGUUUAUCUGAUAAAGAGAGCUCAGAUGGGUGGUUUUAUUUACGUAAGUUAUGAAACCAUCACUUUAUAGAGUUUCUUUCUGUGCUUGCAGAAACUCUAUUAAGGUGAUAAAACGAGGACGAAGACGGUGGCUGCUUGAAGUUUUCAUGGAAAAAAAACUUGUGGACGUGCUGGAUGGGGUGGUAUUGUGGCAACUAGCAAUGUCCACUUGUCAACCAAAACCUUGACAGCGUGAAAAUUCCUUGGGUUCUUGUGGGAAAGACCUUGGAGACACAUACUCAGAUACGGGGUUGUGAGUAAUAACCGUUUAAAAUAAUGUAAUAUUUUUUAAACAAAGUGUAAUUUUAUAUGAAUUAUUUGUAAAAUUUAAUAGCAGAAACACAAUUAUUACAUAUAGAAUUCACAUAAACAGUAACAGAAUAUCACACAUCUAUUAUAAGAAUGUACAAGAAGUUAAUAUAGUAUUACAAACCAUUUAAAAAUGUUACACUAUUCAGGAUAUCAACAGUCCCUGCCCUGCGUUCGUACAUGCUCCAUAAAUGGACAUUUUAAUUCAUUAAAUUUGGGUUUCAAAUUGAUUUGGUUGCCUAUGUUACACAAUAAUCAGUUCUGACCCUAUCUUUUGCAAUUGAUAUCAAUUCGUGAUCAAGGCACGCUUUAUAUGUAUCAUGUGUUUAAAUAAUAUAACUCAUAUUUAGCUAUAAAAGUUAUUUUACUAAAAAUUGGUUUUACAUUUUGAAAAUUUUAAAAAUAAUGUAAAAGAUGACACAAAAUUUUAGCACCACAGAUUCAAAUCACACUUUAUAUAGUUAGAUAUUUGAAAGAUAUUUCCUUAUUGAUAUGUUAUAAUUCUUGGACAAACAUACUUACUUUUGUUAAGGUUAAUAAAAGACUAAAGGAAUUUUGGAAAAUUUCCUUAAUAUUAUGUUCAUUACGUUUAAUUGUUUGUUCUAAUUUUUGGUUGAUUAACCAACGUCAAACUUGAUCAUAUGCUACUUUGGUAAGCUUAAUUAAAAAAAUCGAAAUUUGCAUUUCACAAUUAUUGGCACUCUUUGCUAUUUUUGAUAUGUCACAUUUGGACUAUUCUGCUUUUAGAAACUAAACUUAACUAAUAAAACAAUGUUUUAGCUUCAAUCCAAACAAAAAGCAUUAAUGAUAUUUUGAUCAAUUAAAUAACUUAAAAUCUGAGAAAAACAAAUGGGGAGCUGAAAGGCUCAUUCAGAGGUUUAGGUUGAAAAAUGUACAUCUCCUCACACACACACACACACACACACACAUAUAUAUAUAUGUAUGUAUGUGUAUAUGGAUUGUGUUGCACAUGAUUCAUCAAAGGAAUAAGCUAUAACAAAAAUACUGACCUUGUCAUAAAACAAAUCAGAAAAUUUACUUUAUAUAUAUAUAUAUAUAUAUAAACACACAACUUUUCUGAUUUGUUUUAUGAGAAGGCUAGUGUUUUUGUCAUAGCUAACUCCUUUCACGAAUCAUGCGCAACACAAUCCACCACGGCUGACGAUUUGAUUUGUUUAUCGAGUUUUCUCUCAACUGAAAAAGAGCUUAUCGUUCCCUUUCCAUGUCAGUGACACUUGAAUAAUAAGCUUGUUUAGUACAACUAAAUGGAAUUUCUUUGUUAUUGGUCAUCUGAAAAAGUAAUCUCAGAGAAAGCACCAGCUACGGUUCUAAAUGUUUCUACAAAAUUGUUGAUAAAAUGUCGACGACUUAAAGUCUUCAUGGAACGUCUCUGGAGUGAUGUAUUCCUUUAUCAAUUUGUAUCAAAAUUGGAUUAGUCCAUCUCCAAAAAUUGAUGGCUUCCAAAAUAGGAUCCACAUACUUUGCUACGCAGAUGAGCUUGCGAUUGUUCAUUAUUAAAGUAGACAACAUCAGCCUAAAGAGAGCACAUCAGUGCCCAGCCAGUCACAAAAUAUCAGUGCCAAUUGUACUACAAAAUGUAACUACUAACACAAAUAUUUAACCAUUAAGACAAUGAAAAUACAAAUAAUAAUAACGUACCUAAUAAUACAGCAAGUUUUAUCACUUAUUAAAAAUUGUGUCUCAAAAUCAAUCUCAUCUAGCGAACGUUCGUACUAAAAUUAUUUAAACCAUCAAUUGCAAUUGUUCUAUUAAUAGUAAAGAAUCUUCAUCCAAUUUGAGACUUUUCCCAAACUACGUAUCUACAAUUAAGAUGUCGUUUGGAAUUUUGCACUUCAACUAUAAAUGGAUUGGUUUUACGAUAGAAUUUUUUUUUUUUAUAAAGGAAAUUUUAUUAAUGAAAGACUGAAAACAUAGCCUGGGAUAAAGCAAAAGCCUUAGCCCCUAAAAGCAAAACGGAAGUUACAAAAAUUUUGCAGAUCCAAAGCCAAAAGUUACGAUAGAAUUUUAAAUUUAACAUUAUUACCCAUAGGUUGGCUUUAUUCUAGGAGUUGUUUUUGCUUCUAAAAUGACUCGUAUACAUCAGAGGCAUGAACAGAUAGUACCUUAUUGGUUGAGGCCUCGAUAAUAAUUGAAAGUAUUAGAACCGCAAGCCAACUAGUCUAACCCCUUUGAAUAAAGAUGGAAGUACUGGUAAAAUUAGUAAUUCCAUUACCAGAAGUCGCAAAGUGCAAAAAAUUAAGAUAACGUUAAGGGAAAAGUGCAAAUUACACUAAAAGUUAGAGGCUUUGAUUAUUUAACCUUUUGUUUUGUUAGGUGGUUGUACAUCAUCGAACCUGUAGGUGAUGGUACAUCCACAUUUUUCGAUAUUUAUUUUCAUUAAUUCCUAGUCAUUACUUUAAGUUAAUCUUAUGCGUGUCGAUUUAGAUAAAAUUAUGGUCAAGUCUUGUGGUUGAUAGUGAAAAAGUUGUUGGAGGUUUUAAAUAUAAAAUCAGUUCAUUUAUUGUCUUGGAAAAAAAUCAAAAUACUUCUAGGCACAUAUAACAGUUUGGCGUUAAGGAACAAAUCUUUAUGGUCUUUGAAGGUUUCAAAUGAGCCCUCCUAGGUUUGGAGGAACACUUUGCAGAUUAGAGAUUGGGCUCAACCUCUUAUUAGACACAUUGUUGAGAAUGGGACUAACACCAAUUUCUGGUUUGAUGCAUGGCAUCCCCUUGGGCCAUUGUAUAGACACUUAACAGGCAGGAAAGAAACAGUUUUGGAUGCAAACCAAAUGCUUCUGUACCACAAAUUGUAGGCAGGAAAGAAACAGCUGCAGUGAGGAGGCCAAAGGAAGCUACACCUGCGUGUUUUGAACCUUUGGUGGGGUUUGAGGAUCAGAUUGUGUUGGAGGGAUGUUUAUCUGGUAUAUUCCAUACAAAAGCUGCCAUAAAGCUUCUUAGUGGCUCAAGAGAGAAGGUGACUUGGGCAAUGCUAGUUUGGGGAAAAGGAUUUGUGCCAAGAUCUGCAUUUAUUUUAUGGUUGCUAUGUAAGAAAAGGAUGCCAACAUUGGAAGGGGAGUGGACUGGAAAUGCUUGAUAAAUUAGUUGUUUUGAAUACUGUAACUAUAGUAGUAUGACGAGGGAUACUUGCCCGUGUGUACAAGUUUGAACGCAGUAAUCAAAUAAAAUCCUUAUUAUUUGCUAAAAAAAAAAACAGUUUGGCCGUUAGAUUGGAAAGGGCUCUCAUUUCUCGGGAAAAUGAUUGAGAGGAAACCAACUAGUAUAUUAUUGUGUGCAAAGAAAUGAAGCCAUUGGACUGGAAAAUUGAACUAAUAUGUCUUUGGAUAAUUAACAGAGGAAAAAGAAACUAAAAGAGAAAACACGAAUAGGCAAACAAGAUCUUGCUUACAGAGACACCAACAAAUUGAUGAUUGUUUUUUAUCCAACAAAGAUCAGAUAACCACCAAACAACAAUUGUUUAAGGAGCAUAUACAUAACCACAUCUUUCAUUUCAACCUGCAACAUAAUAGAGAUUGUUGAAAUAUACUUAUAUUUGGUAUUUGAAUCUAAUUACAGGAAGUGGAGCAGAAAAAUACUAAAAAGGGUGAUUUUCUUGAGAAAAUACCGUGCACGUGGGAAGCCUUGAGAAUCCUUACAAAUCCGGCUCCAAGAUGUGCUAAACCAAUGUCUUUCCUUUCGUGACUAGUAGUUUACUAGCAUUAGGAAACAAGAAAGAAGGAAACUUUAGUAGUUGCCUUAUCUCUUUGUUUUCCUUAUUCGGUGGAAAAACCAACGAGAUGAGGGACUAGUCAUUGUUUAGAUUAGGGAGAUUCUUCUAUUAUUCAUGUGAAGCCCCGAAAGACGAAGAAAGAAAAAUUUCUGGUUGAAAAUGUUUUUGGAGAAUCCGGCCGGAAAUCUGGCCAGUUCUUGGCUAGAUACUUGGCCGGAUUGGCCUGGAGUUUUGAAAAAUUUUUUAUUUCCCACUGCCUUGAAUUCGGCCGACUUUCCGGUUGGAUAUCCGACCAGAUUCUGUCGCGGACAGUUUUCUUAAUAAUUAAGUUUCAUCUUUUGACUUCAUUUGGGGUUUUAAAACCCACUUUUCUUUCUCCUCCAAGCUGACCGAACCUCUUGGGAGCAAAACUAAUAGAGAAAACCUCAUUUCUUUUCCUUUGAUUCCUUCACUAAAUCUUGAGUGGUUUCUUCCAAUUUCUGAUAUCUAUUCCGAUUAACUUCACAUCGAAGGUGAUAGCAAGGUAAGGGUGGAAAGUUUUGAGAGGACAAGGGUUUGCUUUGCCUGUUUCAAGGUGAUUGGAAGGUAUAAUCCUUAGAAGCUUCUUUUGUUCUUUAAUCUUGUGAUUAACUUAUUGAUCUUGAUGAUUUAUGGAGAUUAUUGUGAAUUGGAAGUUGGGAUGAUGAUAUUCACUAAUUUUUAGACUUUAUCUAAGUAUUUCAUCUUUGAUUUUGGCAUGUAUGUGAUCAGUAGAAGUUAUUCUAGUGUUAAGGUGGAAUUUCUAGCCUUAAUUGAUAUUAGUGAUGGUUAUAUGCUACUUUGUGGAGGAUUUCAUGAUUUGAAGUAGAGUUUGAUAUAUUUCAGAAUUUUUGGUGAAUUUUCUGUUUUUAUUUGAUGCUUAAACAUAUGCCAUGGAUUGAUGGCUUAGUGGUGUGUGAAAUGAAACUUGUAUAAGCUAGAUGUGAUUUCCUAAGGAAAAUUUCUGCUUGUGGGGUUAAUUUCAGUUUAGAGUUUCAAAUCUACGCUGUUUUUGCACUGUAUGUUCGACCAUGUUAAAGGCUGAAUCAACCUUUGCCCAAAACAUGAAAGUUGUAGAGAUUUGAGUUAGCUACCUACCUGCAAAAUUUCAGAUCGAUUGGACUGUAACCUAUGAAAUGACCGAAAUACUCGUGACUGCCCUUAAGCCCUGUUUCACGGACAGUUUCCUUUUUUUUUUCUCUAAGAUUUUGCUUUUUGACCGUGAGAAUGUAUAAUUUGGCUUUGGAGGUUUUCAUAAGAAAUGUUGGUAUAUGUCUUAGUUUUGUAACGCCAUAAGAUUUGUUUCAAUCGGAGAAGUGUAACUUCAAUUGUGAUUAAAAUGCCCAAAGGUAAUAGGAACUUGAUGCUUUUAGAAUUCCCUUUGCUUGACAUGAUAUUUGUAAUCUAGAGCUUGGACUUGAUCAAGGCAAUGAUCUAUGAUGGAUGGUUCAUGAGUUGUGGUUGGUGAGUAGUUUCAUAACUAUUUGCAAAGUUACUUUUCAAACUAAUUCUUGCAUUGGUUACUCGAUUGCAUAUCAUUUGUAUUUGUGUGUGUGCCAUGACAUAAUUUGGCUCCAAUGAGUGCUUGAAAAAUCGUGUGCUUAGAACCAACGUCUCCACCACUGGUUAUUUGGAGCACCAAAGGCUCCCUAUUGCUAUUUGAUUGUUAAUUGAUUUGUUUGAGCGUUGGAGUUCUAAGUACGAGGAUUUUACUGGCUCACAAGAGCAAUAAACUUUCAUUUGAUCACUGAAUCAUGCCAACAUCUAUAUGCAUUACUGUGAAAUGUACUUGAUUCUUGAUUUCACUGGUCACUCGCUGAGCUUCUAGCUCACCCCAAAAUAUAUUUUCUCCCCACAGGGCUCGAGGCAAAGGAAGCGCGUGUAAUGAGUUAUUAGUAUGACUGGAUGGUUUAUCUCCUAUAUGGUUGGAAUUUGGAAUUCAUCUUGUGUAAUAGUUAGGAUUGUAUGAAGGUUUGGAAUUGAACGAAUGUAUGUGUACGUUCCACGCUUAGGAACUAGUAUUCGCUUCGCUUAUGAUAUGUAAUUCAUGGAGAAUUUGAUAUAUAUUUGAGAUUUACAUUGUAUUAUAUUUGAAAACUGUAGUGAGUGAGUGAGUCCCGGCGAGAGUUGGGCAGGCGGUCCGCCGAACCCUUUGGUUCGCCUUAGGAGGAGGUGGAGCUGUCACAAUUCGUUUUCAUCCCGAGGCCGCAAGACAGGAGAUAAUUCCUUCUUCAUGCCUUUACUCUUCUUGCAUGAAACAUAUUAGAUUGUUUUAAGAACAAAGUUUGAUAUUCAUGAAUUCUACUAAUUCGCGUGGAAAUUUCUUUAUGAGGCGUGGCUAAGUUCCUCAUUUAGUCGAAGGUCAACUUGAAGACUCAGUUCCAAACGUCUGUGAGAUCGAAUUAUUUUACUUAUUUAUUUUAUUCAUUGGUAUUUGUACGUUUUCUAGUUUAACUUCUUAUAAUUGUUUUGUUAUUUGAAUGUCAAGAGCCCGAUAUUCAAAUUAACCUAAUAAUCUACUGUCAGAUUAAUUGAUUGAAUCCGUAAUUGUUCAAUUCAUUAAUACCAGUGGCGACUAACGUGAUUGGUUCCAUGUUAGGAAAACGCAUGAUCUAAUUUAAACAAACCCUCUAGCAUGUUUGUUAGUUAGGGUUGGGCUUUUUUAAUUCUUAAUGCAAUCUAGAAAUUAAAUCCUACAAUCGUACCUAGGGUUAUUUUUUGGUUAGAGAAAUAGUUAACGGUCGUACCUUGACUAUCGAAAAAGUAAGGAAAGACUGGUUGUUUAUCGCGUGUAUGAUAAUUAUAAUCAAUCUAUUAAUGAGUAAUUGAAUUAUCUUUGCAUCGAUAAUUAGUUGAAUAAACCGUGUCUAAAAAGUUGCACCUUUGGCCAGAGUCGUAUUGGUUAUUGAUUAAUUCUUGUUUAUUUCUAUUAGUUGUUUCAUUAGUUAGUUAGUUAGUUAGUUUACAUUCUCCAAAAAUCCCCCAUACUUAUCCCCAGUCCCUGUGGAUUCGACCCUACUCACCGCUAUAUAUAAAAUUUGUAUUUUUCUUAAGAAUGUAAUUAUUAUUACACAGGCUCGACACCUGUCAUCUUUUCUCCUUAGAGUUGUCUAGUGAGAGUUUUCUUCUCUCCUAAAUUUUUUAGUGGAAUUUUAUUCUCUCCUAAGCAUUCCUAGUAAGAGUUUUUGAUAAUUUUUUCAAUUUUCUUUUAUUACAUUUGAGUUUUUCGGAUUUUGAUUAUUAGAUCUGAAAUUUCUAAGAUCUAUUUAGUAGAUCUCACUAUAAUAUAUGGACUCGAAGCCGUUAAUCAGCAGAUUUGACGAUUACAACCAUGCAUAGAUAUCCAUGGAGCUACAAUUAUUUUAUCUUAUUUUUUAAAUUUGAAGCUUUAUAAUGUAAUUUUUAUUGUUCUUCAUAUCUGUAGUAUCCUUUCUUUAGAUCUGUUAUUUUAUAUUUGUAUAUAUUUGAUGAUAUAAUUUCUACCAUUAGUGUAAAUUUUAAUGAAAAUAUGAUAUUUUAUUAAAAAAAUCAUCUUUGAUCAAAACACAAACGGAAAUUCUUGGCAGGUCAUUAUUUUUCUCAAUCUCACAAAAAGUGAAAAAGAAAGCUUCUUAAGCCUUAGUGGACUUACUAGCAUAUGUACAAUAGGUUAAUGUUUUGAAUUAUUCAUAUUGUUGUUCUAAAUAUAUUUUUCUCUUUUUAUUUGGUUUGGAAGCUAGUGGAUGGAGGGCGGCGGGGUAAUUAAUUUCUCAUUGGCAUUUCAGCUUAUUUUUUUGCUUGACCUUUCGUCGUCAUGUAUUCAGCCAUUUCUGGAUCUUUAUACUUCCCUAAACAGAAAUCUGAAAUGUUAACUUUAAAAAUUAUCACAUAAACAUAUUCUUUUAUUCUAUCUUACUCAGUAGAUAAUUUUACAGAAAAAUCAACUUUACCUACUAAAAAAUCUCAUCUAUCUGAUGCAUUAGCGUUCAAAUUUAGAUAGAUGUGAAAACGUUAAAUUAAAUGGUAUCAUUGAAUUGCUUCAAUCAAAACCAUCUGGCAAAGUGCAUCAGUGGCCAUUAAAUUUUCAUGAAUGUCUCUUUUCGGCCAUCCAAUUUUUUUUUUUUCAUUCAAGAAAUUUCAGUAACUAGUAGUACAGUUUGGCUAAAAUUUUAGCAUAGUACGUAUGUUAGUUCAUGUCAAAAACAGUUUUUAUCCUAAAAGUGCAUGGUUAAAGAAUUACAAGACUAAAGAUAGAACACUUGAUUUAAAUUCCCUGUUUUGUGUGUGUUGUGCAUGGUUGGUCAAAUAUACCUUACAGGAAGAGGCAGCUUAGGGAAUAAAUGAGGUUUUCUUAAAUCUUCUGGUUGAGUGAUCAUGUAUAACACGUCAGCCCAGUCAAGCUUUUGCUCCUCUAAUUUGACAAAGGCCUGCCCAUAUCCUUCUACAUCUCCUGGUUCUUGACCAUAUUUGUUCUUUUCAGCCAUCGGCAAAUUGGAAAAAUCUUGAACUUCUGAUUUCAAUUUCUCCACCAAUGAAGAGCUAACUCCAUGAUUAAUCAACUGCUGACAGUUACUCAUAAGUAAUAGCGUCUGGAUGGAACAGCAUAUAAGCAUAUGUAUACUUUUAACUGAUUUGCACUCGUAAAAUUCAGGUAAAAGAUGAUCAAGUCAUCAACGGAUUCAUUUUUCAUAGGACUUUGAUUACAUUUGAAGAUGGUUUCUUUUUCUUUCGAUACAAAAAAAAAGUAGGAUGGUCUCAAACCUUGAAAAAGGUAACCAUAGAGUUUUGGUCUAGUGGCCACCAAGGGGAAUUUAAAGUUCCUUUCUAGGAUGUUAGUUAGGAUUCAAACCUUACACAAAAUCGACGGUUCAAACAUCGAAAUAACAACACUUGACAAUUUAGUUUUGUAAAAAAGUUGUAUAAUCAAACUAUUUCAAAUAUACAAUAGCUUGUCACACAAAUAUAUGUUUGUCAUACAUUCAAUCCUUGUAUAUAUAACUAGAAAAAACCCCACUCCUUGCAAGCAGAAUGCAGCUUCUGAAGCUCCAAAUCACUUACCUCCAUAGCAGAACCGUUAGAGAUGGUUGGAUAUUGGUCUUUGUCGGGGCGUAUGUAACGAGUUGGAACAGAAAAGGGAUUUUUCUUGGCCAACUCUUGGACAAAAGGAACAUUCAGAGAUCCCCCAAGCUUUCUUGUCUUGGGAUCCACGAUUGUGGUUCUUUUCAACUUCAAAGCUCUAAUUCUUGUAUCUAUCCACUGAAUCCCUAGUUCAGAAUAUAUAUAUUUUUUCGCACCAGAUGUUUCAUUAAUCCAACAUUGUUCAUGUGAGAACUCGAAAAUUUUCUUAUUCUUAUCUUAUUUUUCUGACUUAUUUAAAUAAUUAUUCAUCCGUUUUCUUCGAAUAAUUUAUUUCAACCAUUUUAAAUCUAUUUACAUGGAACAAUGUCUCAAUUAUACUUUUAAAACGUCCUGUUAGUAAAUUUAAUUUUUCUGCGGCUCGUUUAGCAAGAAAUAGCGAAUACACAUUUUUCAAUAGAAUAUUCGAUCCGAGAGUACAAUUAUCUUGAAAAAUUAAGAAUGAUCAAUAGUAGACUAAGAAAAGUUAAUUAAGGGAUUAGAAGUGGGUGAGUUCAAAAAUUUCGCCUUAUCGCAUGCGAGUAGAAAGUUCGCGUAUUGCGCGAAGGAAUGAUAAAGUGGAGAUUUGAGAAAGUUAUACUAGACUCAUAAGAGUGAGUAAAUACAGUGUUAAAGGAAUUAUAGUUGAGGAUUAGUAUACAAGUGAAACAAAUAAGAGAGAAAAGUUGUAGUACGGGACACUAUUUGAACCCUAUUCAAAGUUGACUUUUGCAAAGCUUUUGGCCACAAUUUCUUCAAGCUUCCAAGACAAGAUUCACACAACUCAAACCACUCACUCUCUCCUCUCUUCGGUCGGCUGAAACAGCAAAGGAAAAGGAAGGAAGAAAGCUUCUUCAUCUUGCUCCAAAUCUUGUUCCAUUUCCCUCACAAAUCUUCACCCAAAUUACAUACUACUUGGAGAUUAGUUCUAGCUUGGAGAAAGACAUCAUCUUGUAGAAUUUCUUUGAGGUUUUGUGGUGAAAAAAAUUCUGGUAUCAUCUAGGGUUCAAGAGGUAACCCUUUACCUUCUUCAAUCUUUCUAAUUUCUUCAAGAAUGAAGCUUAGUUUGCAUGGGUUUACAACCCUAAGCAAGACAUAAGUUAGAGGACUUGAGGAAUUUCAAUUCUUGUUUUAAUCUCUAGGCUAGCAAUCUUGAGGUGGAUUAUAGGUAGCUGACUUAAGGAUUAAAAUGCUUGAUUGUUGUGUUUAUGUGUUAUAUAAGAGAUUUAUAGUUAGAAUAUGGAGAGAAAGUUGGAAAAGGUUUGAGAUGUGAGCUGGCCGAAACUGUCCUGUGGUUAUCUUGUUUGCAUUUCGAAUUUUUUUUGAAAUGUAUCAUUUUGAACCUAGUUUCCAACGCCACCAAUCAUUCCUAAUUUGAGUUUGUAUUGAGUGAGAUGUGGUCUGAUUUCGAAAGUGCAACAAAGCUGGAAACUGGAAACUUUUUCCUUUCUUGUUGGCCGAAUGGUCAAAUCUGCUUUGGGAUGUUUUGCCAUGAAAAUUUCUAUGUCAAUUUCUUAUCAAAUGUUUCUAGAACCUUGGUUUCAAAGAAUUGGGAUUGAUUUCAUUGGACAAAAACCUUUGGAAAGAAAGAAAGAGUGGGUUGACAGAUUUGCUUUGAAAAUUUCACGAACUUUAGUCAUUUUGUUAACUGCCUUCCCGUGUGAGUUUUUGCCUAAAACUUGAUAGGAAAGUCCAAAUAUGGAAGUUUAAGUGUACCAAAUUUAGUAUAAAUUCAAUAUCAUUUCGAUAUCCAAAUGAUGCCUCAAACAUUGCUCUUCAAAUCUGGAAAUUCACUGUUUUUUUUUUGUUUUUUUAGAGUGUAAACAUUUUUUUGUUAUUUAUCGGAAGAACAAAAUUACAAAUGCCAAUGCUCGAAUAAAAAACUACCCCUCCCUCACAACAACCUGGCGGAGGGAAGGCAUACCUAGCCUAUCUAGAAAUAAAGCCCCUCGCGCUAACCGGGGUAACUCCGAUGCCGCCAAGUAUAUAUCGUCACGGGCCCGCUGACAUCCAGUAUUCGCCAACGUAUCGGCGACCUGGUUCGCCUGACGGUAACAGUGAAGAAUCCGUGGAAAGGAAGACGCUACCCCCAUCAACUGCUGCACCUCCGUGUGGAUGCCCCAUGGGCAAUGAGCUAAACGAUUCAAAAUGCGGACUAAUGUCAACGAGUCCAUUUCAACGUCAAAGAUGGCGAUGCCCGCUGGAGGCACAAAUUGACCCCACCCAACAGGGAACGGGCCUCAGCCUGCACACUUGAAGCCAAACCGAAACAACAAGAAAAUGCCAGCACCAUCCUCCCCUCCCAAUCACGCAACACCCCCCUCCUCCACUCCAACUAGGAUUACCCUUAGAACAACCGUCCGUGUUAAGUUUUAGGCUUCCGUGGAGAGGCCGCACCCAUUUUACCAGCCUAUGUGAGAUCCCUGCUUUCCACUUUGAUAUGGCCAAAUAAAAAUGGACCCACGACCAUGACGGUACCCGGCAGCCCGGAAACUGGAUCCUGAACAACUGUAUCAUCUCGGAGAAGAUCAAAUGGCAUACUUGAGCCCCCACAAUCCUCUUGCUCUCGUACUUCACCCCGUUGCAAGCCUUCCAAAGAUGCCAGCAGAUCAACAAAGGGACAACCUGGUGGACAAACUUCAACAACUUAUUCUGAUGCCGCCCCUCCCACCAGGCUGCCAGACAUAUGCGAAACGAAGACCCUGACCAACCUACCCAAUCGGAGCCCCAAAGAACUGCCACACAAACCGUGCCAUAGCCCCAUCACAAAACACAUGCUCCGUAGUCUCAAUCUCAGGAGAUGUACAACACGAACAUCGAGACGGUCCCUGCACCCUCAACUUCCAUACGAAACAGUCCAAGGGGAGGCGAUCUCGCAGCAGGCGCAAGAGAAAAAAUGAAACUCUCAACGGUACCCCUAGGUGCCAAAUGCGCUUGAAAAGAGGCGAAGGCCUAGCAUGAUGCCGGACCAAGGAGAAAGCUGUCUUGAGACUAAAACGGCCCGAUGGCUCCGGCGGCCAAACCAUUAGGUCAGGCAGCGACCCUCCAGGUGGGUGCAUUUGGCCAAUCUCUGCAACUAUAUCCGGCGGUACCCAUUGUGAAAUCCUGCAAACGUCCCAGGAACCGCCCUGCACAAAGUCCGCCACCUUAUGGUCUGACACACUAUCCAAUCGAUUCGCCAAAUGCCCAGAACCUAGCUAAUUGUCAAACCAAAAAUUCGCAUUCCCGGACCGGAUGAUCCAUCCAAUGUUCCUUUCUGCCAAGGCUCGAACUUUCCCCAUCCUUCUCCACCCCUCUGAUCCCUUCUCCGAAAACACCAGGUUAGGAUGCACUACCCGGCAAAACUUUGCAUGCAUAAAUGAGGCCCACAAGGACGACUUGGAUCGAAAAUUCCACCAUAAUUUGAUGGAGAAAGCCCGGUGAAUAUCUUCCAGCAGGCGGAGCCCAACCCCUCAUUCUUCACGCUCAACACAUAAAUCUUUCCACCGAAUCCAAUGGUGUUUGGGGCCGUUGUCAUCCGACCCCCAUAGGAAAUUAGCGAAUAUACCCUCCAGCUCCAUGAAAAUAGCUUUGGGAGGUGAAGCCGCCAUCAACAGGUAUGUUGGCAUAGCAGAGAGGACAUGUUUCAACAACACAAUCCUCUCUCCCUGUGAAUAUCUGGAAAUUCACUGUUAAAGUAGUGAAAAUUAACCGACUUUAGGCUAUUUUAUCUUGACGCUCAAAACUCUGAAUUUAGUUUCGUUUGUUGUGUUUGAAAACCUAUUUGAAACUCUUAUUGUGUUACAAAUUUCAAAGACUGAUUCGUUUUCUAUGAAUUUUGCUGAAUUUCCAAAAAUGGCUGAAAAAUCAAGACUGGUUCAAACAUGUCCUCUUGGAACUGAAAUUUUGAGUUGAAAAAUGAGUACUUUCCGUUUAGAAUCUUGAAAAAAUGUCUUCUAGGAACUUUUAGCAUUUUGGAUCUAGUUUCCAACGUAAUAAAGUUUUUCCAUAUUUGGAUGUACCGAACUCAAGAUCUGAUUUUACCAAGUUUAUCGCGCAGAGCUAAAAAUUCAUGAUUUCUUGGAAAAUGAGUUUUUGAGAACUUUUCGUUGUCUUUCGAUAUUGAUCAUCCAUUUUAAACUCAUCUUCAUGGAGGAUGCAAGUUUCUCUUAUGAAUUUAAAUCCUUACUUUUGAAUCUCGAUUUUCGAGAUAUUAAAGUUCUUUUAAGACAUUGUCUUAGUAUUGCGCAAGUGUAUAUUCUUUUUUGUUUGGCAAGAAGUUUGUAAGUAUUUGUGAGUGAUAGAUAAUUGUUAUUUCUUCAGGUGCUCAAGAAGAUUUUGAAGAGAAUCUCGAAGCCAACCACUAAAGGCUUAUUUGCUUACUUACUCACUUUUUGAUUUGGUGAGUAUCAAGUGUAUGGAGUGUUGCUACGUGCUUAAAUGUUCUCAUUAAUUGAGUAUUCUAAAAGUGCCAAAUCGAGUAUGUACUUUACUACACUCGUUCUCUUUUAAAUGAAUUAUAUUUGAAUUAUACGAAGUGAAUUUGCUAAGUGCAUAAAGUGAAGUGUUGCAAUAGUGAAUCAUGCUAUGUUUGAAUGAAUGUCGAUUGGAGUGAAUCUUAUCAGCUUAUAUUGAUAAUAGUGGGGGACGCCUAAACUCAUCGGCCGACCUUGCGACUCGAACCGGCAUAGGCUUGGUCGUGAACCUUGAUGAGCCAUGAGAAAAAAUUGUAUAAACUUGAUCUAUUUGAGAGAUCUCACUUGGCAUAUUCGAGUAGUAUCGCCUUAUAUAAAAGAAGUACGGAGUAGGGGGUGUGACAGCCCCACCUCACCCUAAGGCGAACCAAAGGGUUCGGCGGACCGCCUGCCCAACUCUCGCUAAGACUACUAAGACAGUUAUACACAACUCAAAACGUGCCGGAAUACAGUAGCGCGCUUAAACAAAGCAAAAAUCACAAAAUCGAAAAAUAAAAAAAAAUCGAAACGGAAAGUGAAUAAUGCCUGCCACGUCACAAUCCGACCACGGCCCAAUCAAAUACAAGUAAUUUCAUAUAAUCCUUGAAAUGGAUAUAUACAAACCAAACAUACCACAUGAACAUGAGUACACGCUUUGAUAAACCACAUUCGCAGUUUUACAAAUCAAAAGGGAACAUUUGAAUCCAAGUACAAUUAGAGUUCCAACCAUUGAGGAGCUAUACAAAAUAUCUAAACUAGCUCAACUUAUGCUUCAAAAUCACAGUUCUAAAAGUAGAUCCCUGUAAGGAAAAUAAGGAUAACGGAACGGGGUGAGUUAGAAGCUCAAUGAGGUACAAAAAAUAAUAACAGUCAAGAACCAAGGAACUUCAUGCUCAAUUAAUCACAUAAGUAUACCAAAUAAGGAGAUGAGCAAAACAACUUAGAUAGAAAAGAUACAGGUGGCUCUCAGGAGCCAAAUCCCUGUUACAGUACUUGAUCCGACUACGUUGACCCUCCGUCAACUUUCAAAUAAGGAAACCAGUCCAAUAGAACGCCACUUUAACGCCAAAUCCCGUUCACCAAUCAUACCCCCUUACCGGGCCCGAACGCCAAACAAGAAUGAAAGUGGUAAUAUUCGAGUAUACCGGAAUCAAGAGUUUCAAUACUUAAAGAUUCCCUAGGAACAGGCACUCAUGGAUUGUGAAAUACCUCGACCAAGCCCUUAUUGGCUCGAUUUAAUUAACUCCCCAUGAGAUUGAGCUCAAGUUUAACAGGAAGGUCGUUGGACACACUUCCAAACGACAUUAUAACGAGCGCAAGUAACAGGUUCAAGUUCAUAAUAAGUACAAGUAAUAGAUUUCAGUUUAUACAACACAGGCAAGAGAACGAGUGUGAUAAAGUACACCCUCGUCUCAUUCAAAAUAACAGAGUUCAUAGUUAUCUAUGUCACAAAUUUCAAGUAUAGAUGAACCAAUUAAGCAACAAUGCAGGGGAGUGGUACACUGACCAGAUCAAACAAGGAUAAUUUAAAAAAUUGCCUUCCCAAGUGUGGCUUUACUCGCCGGCACCUCCUAGAACAAUCAAAGGCAAACACUUAAGACUUGACUCCAAGACCUAAUAAAUGGAAUUCGCAAGUAAAACUCGGUUACAAGUCAUGUGCCUAUCCAAAUGAACCAUUAAUGUAAAGCGAAGAGGUGACUUUGGAGUGAAAAGAUAACUGUGAGAGCCCGAAAUUUUCUUAUUUUCUAGGCAUUUAUUUUAGUCUUUUACGUAUAAUUUCCAUAUUUUCUUUCUUAUAUGAAAAUUCUGAAAAUUUUUAUGAGGACAUAUGAUUUUUACAUUUUUUUCCAUAUAAGUUAUUUUCUGUGUUAAAGGUGGUGUACAGUGGAUGCGAGACCUACUAGUGCGAUAAGUGCGGUAAAUGUGGUUCAUUUGGAGAAGCUUUGUAUACAAGGAUUAUAUUACAUGGUGUUAUGAGAUAAUUAGGGGUUAGCUAGUUAAUUAAGUCUUGCAAGACAAAAGAAAUGAGAUAAGCUUGAAAUGGGCACAUGUUGCAUUGUGAUUGGAGGUUGGCAUUUGACUAGUCUUUCUUUACCUUUACUAAACUAAUUUAGACCAAAAAUCAUCUUCCAUUUCCUCCUUCUUGGCUGAGCAACAAGAGAGAAAAGAGAGAGAGAGCUUCUUCAAUUUUCUUUCAUUUCUAGCUUGAAUCUUGCAAACCUACUGGUUAAAUUCCAAAUUUCUCCACAAAAGUGAGUUGCUAAGCUAGUUUAAGGUGAUGAGUGGAGCCAUUUGUGAAGAAUCUUGUUUCUUGGAGUUGCAAAGGUGAGUUGUUAAAUAUCUUCCCUCUCAUGUUACUAAUGAUCAAUUAAGGAUUUCUAGUGGUAGAGCAUGUCAUUAUGUAGAUUAUUUUGUGACUUAUGGUUGAGUUGUUCAAUUUUUCCUAUUUAUUAAGGAAUUUUCUGUUUUAUAUGGUAUCUUGUGGUUGGCUAUGGAUUGAUAGUCCUAUAUGAAGGAAUUUGGAGCCUCUAUAUGCUUAUUGUGGUUUAUUGUAGAAAUUUCCAGGUUUUAGAGGGAUUUUCAGUUCUAGGGUUUCCAAAUGACCCUGUUCUACCCAGUUCUAUUCGGCUAGGUUAGAGGCCAAAUUAUCCUUAGAUUAAAACAUGAAAGUUGUAGGAAAUAAUGUUUUAUAGUUGCCUGUAAAAUUUCAGUCCAAUACGAGUUGUGUAACCUGAGAAAAGAUAGAAAUACCGGAGACUGCCGUAGGAAGAGUUCGCUGGACAGGGUGGACAUUUCACCCAAUCUGACCGUGACUUUUCACCCUGAUGCUUACCGAAUUAGAUUCUGGCCAAAACAUGAAAGUUGUAGUGUUCAACGGCCCUAGAAACACCUUAAUUGGGCUUCGGUAGCCUGAAUUAGGGUCGUUUAACCAUAUUGUGGUUAGUUAACCUGUUCGUGUGAUGCUAGUUUGGUACAUUGAAUUUGUGGCCUAGCUACCCUACAAAUUGGACUGAGUGGCCUACUUCAAAAUUGUAACCCUUUAUCAUAGCUUCAAAAUGGUGUAAAUUUCACCCCAAUCCGAUAAGUGUAGCUCCAGUUGUGUCCGUUCCGCUAAAUGACGUCAAAACUGUCUUUUGGUUUUAGGGCAUAAGCUUCAUUUCCGGACUCUCCCUCACUUGACUAUGCACUUAUACGUUCUAUUGGGCCUUAUUUUUGGUAGUGUGUGGAUUGGAUUUGACUCUUGUUCGAGUCUUAAUUGUGAUAUUCUUGUUAUAUAGGUCGUGCCGGUGAUCCGACGCCUACGCUUGAAGCUAACUUGUGAAUUUGCUUACUUACCUUGGUGAGUGUACUAUUAUAGGUCUACUGCUUAAAUGGUUGUUUAUACUUGUUAUGUGAACUUGAAUGGCUUGAAUGAGACGAGAGUGUACUUUAUCGCUCUCGAUCUCUUAUCUGUAUUACUGGUACUGUCAACUGUGAAAUUGUAUACAUGUGUGAUUUGACAUGGCUUGGGGUUUUGCCCAACAACUUAACUGUACUAUCUGAACUCAUACCCCAUUGGUCCUUAGUCGAAUCGAGUCGGCAAGGGCUUGGGCGAAUCGAUAACGAACCUUGGGUUCACUGUAGUCGAGUGGAGUGUUAACUCCUUGAUCUUAUGAUAUACUCGAGUAUUACCCUCUGUGUUACUGUGAGGUGUUCGGGCUCGGUAAGGGGGUGUUCGGUGGAAGGGAUAUGGAGUGAAGUGGCGUUCUACAGGUUGUUCUUCUCUUUAACGGUUGACGGAGUGUCAACGGGUUGGAGAUCAAGUGUGGCAAGUGGAAAGUGGCUCUUGAGAGCCAAUUGUUUCCUUUUACAUUGACUUGCUUGUUUAUGAGCUUUGGAAUCACUAUGUGUUAAUACUUGCUUACUGGUGUGUCUUGUUGGUACCUCACGAGCGUAAGCUCGCCCUUCGUUACUUUGUUUUCCUUACAGGGAAUAACCUUUUGGAAACUAUGAUGUUUUGAAGCCGAGUUGAGCUAGUUUUAAUAUUCUUUUGUAUAGCUCCUUGAUAGUUGGGAAAUCCAUACAUGUACUUGGAUCCAACAUUUCUUUUGAAAUGUAAAUUUGUAACUAUGCGUAUAUAAAAGUGUUUGGUAAUGUUCAUGUGCUAUUUUGGUUUGGAAAUGUCCCUUUCUUGGAGUAUAUAAAGUUAUUGCACUUAUAUAGGUUUCGAACAGGUAUGGCACUAUUCAUGUGCGGCUCCAUUUUUCCCAUUUUCAUUUCGUGAUUUUGAUUCAUUGAGCAUGCUAAAAUAUUCCGGAACGUUUUAGUUGUAUACAACCGUUCUAGUAGUCCUGGCGAGAGUUGGGCAGGCAGUCCGCUAACCCCUUUGGUACGCCUUAGGGGAAUGCUGGGCUGUCACAAUAACAAUUAGUCCUAAAGGCAUGAACAACCUCAAAACCCUACCUACAAUGAUUGACCAACUCCAAAUUUGAAGUAGAAAAUGAAAGUAAGAUCACUACUAGGAAAACAGGAUUUUCUAGUUUCGCGCAACCCUAUAUGAAAAAUCAUAUCUCAUGUUUUGUAAGUCCAAAAUUAAUAAAAGUUAUACCGUUGGAAAAUAUAUUCAAAGGGCUAUAACUUUCCAGAAAACACCAUCGUAAGAUUCAAAACGUAAGUCAGUCAAAUUCAAGCCUCAAGUAGCUACUUUAUCUAGUGAAAGCAGAAUAGGUACAAUAUUUCAGUCAACUUUGAAAAAUCACCAUAAAUUGUACAGACAGAAACAGGGUCUGAAAUUUACACGGUUUAUAGCCCUACGAAUCUAGUUUAAAACGAAACAAACGGAACUCAAUUCCGAUUUUCCUACAUCAAGAUAUAGUAGAUUCCCCAAGACUGCUCAAGGCCCUGCGAAAAUUUCAGCAGCACUUCCCCUAGAUUUCCGUACUUCACCAUGCUACCAUUAACCACCAAAUUUCAUAACAAACAAUCACCAUUGCACAUACAAAUCAUAGUCUAUGAAACACCCUUAAGAUACAACCAAUUGGUAGCUUCAAAACUACCCCCAAUCAUGGUCAAAUUAAAACCCUAAAGCUGAAAUUCUCCGUACAAAGCGGAAAUUUUUCGCAAAUAGCUAUAAUUAGCGCACCAAAGCUUCAUUCUAGACCAAAACAAGCCAUCAUCCAUGGCCAACCAACAUUAAACAUAUAAAACAGAAAAAUUAUGAAUAAAUAUAAAAAUUCCACAAUCUCUACCAAAAGUCAUGAAAUAACCCACAAAAUCACAUAACUAACCACCAUAAGUCAUGAAUCAGCCAUUAUAGGAACCAAACAAGGAAUCUUUACACACCAUACCUUGAUACCUCCCAAAAGAUUAUAGCUUAGGUCUCUUGCUUUCCAAACAACUCCACCAACUUCCUCAAACCUACCUAGCUAAGGGUUUUCAUGGAGUAAUCUCAAGAUUAAUCGGUUGGAUUGCAAGAUUGAGCAAGAUUGAGAGCAAAAGAGUUGAAUGUUUCUUUUCUUUUCUAUCUUGAGAGAGUCGGCCACAAGAGUGAAGAAAAUGAAGAUUUUUUGAUCAAUUUUGGGAUAUUAGUAAAGUACAUGAAUAGUGGUCAAAGUCCAAGAUUAAAUCACAAGGUGACACUUGCCACCUUUUUGGUUGAUAAUUAUCCUUUGGUCUCUUCUAUACUAAUCUAUCUAGGAAACCUCUAAUUAUCUCAUAGCACCUAGUAAAUUACUCCCGGUAUACAAAACUUAAUCUAAUUGGCCGAAUUUUACCGCACUUACUGCACUAGCGGGUCCCACAUCCGGUAUUCACUCUUAAUUUCUCAAAAACUAACUAAUACUAGAAAAAUAAUUUAAAAACUAUAUUUACUCAUAAAAAUUAUCUAAAAAAUUUCCUAGUAACGAAAAUGUAGAAAAGACAUGCAAUUAAAUAAAAUAAAGUCUAGAAAAUUAGAAAAUGCCGGGUUCUCACAGGGGGUGUAACGGUGAUCUGGAGUGCGAAGUAAGUGGGGUUCUACGGACCUAUAACCUACCCGGUUGACGGAGUAUCAGCUCGUGGAGGUACUAGAUCGAGCAUUGGCAGAGCAAGUGGAAUAUAGCUCCUGAGAGAUUCCGUAUCCUUAUCAAGUAUGUUUUAUUGUUAGUUGUGAACUAGUUGAAUGUUAUAACCUUAAUUCUUGUAUAAGUGUAAUCAUUAUUUGAACUAUGUGUUUUGCAUGUUUUUCUUAGCCUCACUGAGUAUUAACUCAUCCCAUUAGAUUUGUUUUCCUUAACAGGAGCCGAAAUGGAAAAAAUUAUGGAGAAGCCGACUUGAUGCACUUUUGAUUAGGGUUUUGAAUGUAAUUGAUUAGACAGCUUUUGAAAGUUGUAUAUUUGGGGAAAGUGAUGUACUUGGUAUGUUCUAAUGUAGGAAUUGAAUAUUUAUUAAGGAAGCGACCUUUUCUUUGUAGUUUCGACUCUUAUUAUUAAUUGUUAUCCAUAAGUUUGAGUUCGUCUUGUAGUGAGUCCUGACGAGAGAUAGGCAGGCGUCCCGCCGUUACUCUUGGAUUCGCCCUUGGGAGAAGUGGGGCCGUCAUAGUUGGUAUCAGAGUUUAGGUUUCAGAUCUUUGUAGUGUAUUUUAGGCUAAAAGUUUAGGAUAUCGGACUAUGGGUUUAGUUGCGUGUUAAGUGCAAUGUGACUUUGGUGCUUGAUGUUUUAACGAGUAAUAUUGAAGUGUUUGUGUUUAAUUAGAAGGAUGCUGAAUAUUAGUGUUUUAUUUUUGUUGGAGUUAAAUCCUUAUACGUUUAUGAUUUAAUGUAUUGCGGACUCUACUCUAAUGGUGAUUCCAUCUCUUUAAGUUGUUCUUGAGUUGAGGACUUGAAGCAACCUUGAUUUGAAAAGUUUCUUGAUGUUGUAGCACUAUUUUGCUUACACAACACUAUAAGACUUUAAUCUUCGAGUUGUGUUGGAGAUGAGUCAAGAUUAUGAAUUUUAAAUGGCCUUCUGAUGAGUUUAAGGGUUGGAUACCUUGAACUUGCAAAUGAGACAUCUUUUGCAUUCCCUUUUGGUUUGACUUACUACCCUAACCUGUAUAGGAAUUGUCACCUUGAAUUUAGUGAGGAAAACUUGUAUUCAUUUGAAGUUUUAGGCUAAGAAUUUAGAAAGUAGUUUAAGCUUUUGGAUGGAAUUUGGAAUUUAUAAUUAUUCGAAUGAUGUGGCCUCGUAUCGUGGAUUCUUUUAGUUUUGUCCCUAAUUAGGAUUAUGGUUUUCCUUCUUUUGAUCUUGCCUAGGAUAGUAGGGGUAGUGCAUGCCGUGGGGUCUUUUGUAUUUUGCUUGCAAGAACUCCUAUAUUUUGAGACACUUAAUUGCCUAUAUCCUCUAUUUGAUAUAUUUGGAUUGUUUUGUAAUCUCCCGACUCGUACUAUGAAUUUUGGUAUAUGUAAAGAAUCAUGCUUUAAUUCUAAAUAUUUUUGUAACUUAUAUACGCAUUAAGUUCUUAUAUGCCUAAUUAUUCUUUUUCUUACGCCUAUAGACUUAUAUUAAGUAUGGCUCGGCGUGCACUCCUGAGAAAGAUGAGGGAUCACGGAAAGAAAGAUUGAUGGAUGGUUUUAUGUAAUUCAAUAGGAUCCUAGUGUUGGAUAUGAAUCGGAAAUGAACGAGAAGAUUAGAACUACCAGUAUUAUAAUUGAUUGACCUAGUUGGGUACCUAAUGAGGUUCUCCCCUAUGAAGUUUUAAUAAUUGUUCUAUACGUAUCUUGUGAUUGGUCCUGUGGACAUGUUUUAAACUUUUAUGAACGUUUGAAAUCCCAAAAUAUUGUGUUGGUUAUUCGUGAGGUGACUUGAACUCAAUUCCUGCUUGUUUUAAUUGAAUAAAAGUAUUUUCAGAUUCUGCUCGGCCAUUACUAUGUAUAUAUCCACUUACCUGUUAUCCUUUUUCCACAAAUAUUUAUAUAUAUAUGUACAUACAUUUUGAACCCGUAUGAGAACCAAAAAUCAGGCAGAGCUUAGAUUCGGAUCUUUUCUAAGGACUAAGAAUGAAAUUUUUUUGUGGAUUAGAGAGUAAAGAUGACCGAGUUUUAUGUACCAUUAGAGUUAGCUCUUGGAUUAGAUGUGAAUGGUGGUAAAGGUGUUGGAUCGAAAUUUACGCAUAUAUGAACCUGCAUGUUUACUUAUCUUUCUUAAAAGCAUUUUCCAAAAUAUACGUUUUACUAAAACGCAGCUCUUAACUCGAGACUUUGAGGGAAUUUUUAAAACACCCUCCAUGUAUAUGUUAUUAUAUUAUAUAUGUAAUUUAAUGUGUGUUUUAAUAUCCACGCGUUGAGUCCUAUGGUUAAUCUUCUUAACUGUAUUUGAGGAAUUUGAAAUAUGUAUUGAUAAUUGUGGCAAAAACAUUAUUUGAAGUUUCUUACUAAGAAAAUUUAGUUUCGGACCAUGAAGAAAAGUUUGUAUUUUUAACUCUAAUUUUGAGAUUUUGAAUCGCAUUUUGCCACAUACAUAUCCAAAAUACAUUAAAGCCCUCGAUUAUAUCACACAUGUUAUGAUUGAUUUGAUUUGGACAAAAAUUUGGUUGGUCGCUUGGGACAAAAGAAACCCGAUCAUUACUAAAAUUGUUGAUUUUGAAAAUCGAAUGCUAGUAAAUGGUUUUGGACAAAUUGGGUCCAAAAAUUUUGGUAAGGCUAGUCUUCUGUUGAAAAUAUAUCCUUCUAUUUAAGUUUUGAACUACAAGAUUGAAUCAUUUACCUAGAGUUUUAUUUGACCUUGGAGCUAACUAUUCUUGUGUAAACCCUUGUUUCGUGAAUGGUAUAGAUAAAGUGUGAUCGCUUACCCUAUGAUUUGGAAGUUAGGACUCCUACGGGGGAAUUGGUGUCUAAUUGUUACUGCAAAUAAUGGAAAGUGAAUUUUUGGCAGAUCUAGUGGACCUAGCAAAUAAGGGGUAUGAUGUGAUAUUAGGAUGGAUUGGCUAGAUAGAUGUGAAAAGUAAGCUGGCAUCAUCUGCUCUUGUAUCAGGAAUCCAAGCUAGAAAAUUUAUACAUACAGAAGCAUGAGAAUAUUUAGCUUUUCUUAUAAAUACACCUGGAGAUAAGAUGAAAUUGAAAAAUGUACUAGUGGUGACAGAUCUAUUAGGAGAGCAAUGUACGUCUUAUUUGAAAGAGGAUUCAUUAGGGAGAGUGAAUUCCGUGGAGGGUGCCUAUGCUCUUUGUUUUAAAAAAAAAAGAUAGAAAUUUAAAACUAUGCGUGAAUUUUCGAGACUUGAAUAAGGGGACCAUUAAGAAUAAAUACCCUUUUUGCCUUAUAUAGAUGAAUUGUUUGACCAAUUAUAAGGAGCCAGACUAUUUUUUAAGUUGGAUCUGAGACAAAACUAUUAUUAGUUAAGGAUCUUAGAAAGAGUUAUACCUAAGAUUGCUUUUGCUUCAAGACGUGGCUAUUUUGAGUUUAUAGUCAUGUCUUUUGAAUUGGCUAAUGCACCGGUAGUUUUCAUAAACUUGAUACACUGAGUUUUAAACUCUAUUUGGAUUAGAUUGUGGUGAUAUUCACAGAUGAUAUAUUAGUAUAUUCUAAGUCUCGAGAAAAUCAAGAACGACAUUUGAGGAUAGUUUUGCAAACCUUGAUAGAGCAUUGACUUUUGCUACGUUUCACAAGUAUGAAUUUUGGGUCAGAAGAAGCUCACCGUUCUAAGCAUAUGCUGCACCCUAGAGGUAAUAAGGUGUACCAGGAUCUGAAGAGUCUUUAUGGUUGAGAUAAAUGAAGAGGAAAACCGAAAGAAGUAUCCAGAGCUAUUUCUGAAUCAAUGUAUAAUUUCAAGGACGAAUUUCCUUUAAGGGGGGAAGGAUGUGAAGACCCGAAAAUUUUCUUAUUCUUAUCCUAUUUUUUUGGCUUAUUUAAAUAAUUAUUCACCCAUUUUCUCCGAAUAAUUUAUUUCAACUAUUUUAGAUCCUUUAACAUGAAAUAAUGUCUCACUUAUAUUUUUAAAACAUUCCGUUAGUAAAUUUAAUUUUUCUGCGGCUCGUUUAGCGAGAAAUAGUGAAUACAUAUUUUUCGAGGUAAUAUUCGAUCCGAGAGUACAAUUAUCUUGAAAAAUUAAGAAUGAUCAAUAAUAGGCUAAGAAAAGUUAAUUGAGAGAUUAGAGGUGAGCGAGUUCAAAAAUUUCGCCUUAUCGCAUGUGAGUAGAAAGUUCAUGUAUUGCACGUAGGAACGAUUAAGUGGAAAUUUGAGAAAGUUAUUCUAGAGUCAUAAGAGUGAGUAAAUACAGUGCUAAAGGAAUUACAGUUGAGGAUUAGUAUGUAAGUGAAACAAACAAGAGAAAAAAGUGGUAGUACGGGACACUAUUCGAACCCUAUUCAAAGUUGACUUUUGCAAAGUUUUUUGCCACAAUUUCUUCAAGCUUCCAAGACAAGAUUCACACAAUUCAAACCACUCUCUCUCUCCUCUCGUUGGCCGGCCGAAACAGCAAAGGAAAAGGAAGGAAGAAAGCUUCUUCAUCUUGCUCCAAAUCUUGUUCCAUUUCCCUCAAAAAUCUUCACCCAAAUCACAUACUAUUUGGAGAUUAGUUCUAGCUUGGACAAAGGCAUCAUCUUGUGGAAUUUUUUGGAGGUUUUGUGGUGAAAAAAAUUCUGGUAUCAUCUAGGGUUCAAGAGGUAACCCUUUACCUUCUUCAAUCUUUCUAAUUUCUUCAAGAAUGAAACUUAGUUUGCAUGGGUUUAUAACCCUAAGCAAGAAAUAAGUUAGAGGACUUGAGGAAUUUCAAUUUUUGUUUUAAUCUUUAGGCUAACGGUCUUGAGGUGGAUUGUAGGCAGCUAACUUGAGAAUUAAAAUGCUUGAUUGUUGUGUUUAUGUGUUAAAUACGUGAUUUAUGUUUAGAAUACGAAGAGAAAGUUGGAAGAGGUUGAGAUGUGAGCUGGUCGAAACUGUCCUGUGGUUAUCUUGCUUGCAUUUCGAAUUUUUGUUGGUUAUUUGAGUAUGAAAUGCAUGGAUAUAUGUUUGUACAAAGUGCCUUGCAACAAUUAUUUCAUUUGGUUGCACAAAAUUAGAGUUUUCGAAAAUGGAAGAAAUCUGGAAUUUGUGAUCAGGAGGUCCAGACAGUAGCUCUUUUUUCGAACAUAACUUGUUGUACAAAAUUCGAAAUAGAGUACAGUUUAUGGCAUUUGAAACUAAACAUUUAUAGCUUUCUAACGAUAUAAAAGUCACCUGCUAGUUCGAACUGAGUGAACCGUAGUGAUUUAACAAAGUUGACGGUCCUGUUGUGACUCUCUGUCCGAGAGGAAUGGAAAAGCUAGCUGCAUCUUGUGGCUUAAUAUUCUAUUGCUUGUGAACUGAUUUUGGAAAUGACUCUUUCUAAUGAAAUGGGAAAUUUUGAACCUAGUUUCCAACGCCAUCAAUCAUUUCCAAUUUGAGUUUGUAUUGAGUGAGAUGUGGUCUGAUUUCAAAAGUACAACAAAGCUGGAAACUGGAAGCUUUUCCCUUUCUUGUUGGCCGAAUGGUCAAAUCUGUUUUGGGAUGUUUUGCCUUGAAAAUUUUAGUGCCAAUUGCUUAUCAAAUGUUUCUGAAACCUUGGUUUCAAAAAUAGAGUGAAUUGGGAUUGAUUUCAUUGGACAAAAACCUUUGGAAAGAAAGAAAGAAUGGGUUGGCAGAUUUGUUUUGAAAAUUUCACGAACUUUAGUCAUUUUGUUAACUACCUUCCCGUAUGAGUUUUUGCCUAUAAUUUGAUAGGGAGGAAGUUCACAUAUGGAAGUUUAACUGUAUCAAAUUUGAUAUAAAUUUAAUACCAUUUCGAUAUCCACAUAAUGCCUCAAACUUUGCUCUUCAAAUCUGGAAAUUCACUGUUCAAGCACUGAAAAUUAACUGACUUUAGGCUAUUAUAUCUUGAUGCGCAAAACUCCGAAUUUAGUUCCGUUUAUUGUGUUUGAAACCUUGUUUGGAAAUCUUAUUGUGUUAGAAAUUUCAAAGACUGAUUCAUUUUUUAUGAAUUUUGCCGAAUUUCCAAAAAUGGCUGAAAAACCAAGACUGGUUCAAACCUAUCCUCUUGGACCUGAAACUUUGAGUUGAAAAAUGAGUGCCUUCUGUUUAGAAUCUUGGAAAAGUGUUUUCUAGGAACUUUAAGUAGUUUGGAUCUAGUUUCCAACGGUAUAAAGUUUUUCCAUAUUUGGACGUACCGAACUUAAGAUCUGAUUUUACCAAGUUUAUCGCGCAAAGCUGAAAAUUCAUUAUUUCUUGGAAAAUGAGUUUUUGAGAACUUUUCGUUGUCUUUCGAUAUCAAUCAUCCAUUUUAAACUCAUCUUCAUGGAGGAUGCAAGUUUCUCUUGUGAAUUUAAAUUCUCACUUUUGAAUCUCGAUUUUCGAGAUAUUAAAGUUCUUUUAAGACAAUGUCUUAGUAUUGCGCAAGUGUACAUUCUUCCUUGUUUGGCAAAUAGUUUGUAAGUAUUUGUGAGUGAUAGAUAAUUAUUAUUUCUACAGGCGCUCAAGAAGAUCUUGAAGAGAAUAUCGGAGCCGACCGCUGAAGGUUUAUUUGCUCACUUACUCACUUUUUGACUUGGUAAGUGUCAAGUGUAUGGAGUGUUGCUACGUGCUUAAAUGUUCUCAUUAAUUGAAUAUUGUGAAAGUGCCGAGUCGAGUGUGUACUUAACCGCACUCAUUCUCUUUUAAGUGAAUUAUAUAUUGAAUUGUAUGAAGUGAAUUUGCUAAGUGAAUAAAGUGAAGUGUUGCAAUAGUGAAUCAUACUAUGUUUGAAUCAAUGUCGAUUGGAGUGAAUCUCAUCGACUUAUAUUGAUAAUAGUGGGGGACGCCCAAACUCAUCGGCAGACUUUGCGACUCAAGCUAGCAUGGGCUUGGUCGUGAAGCUUGGUAAGCCAUGAGAAAAAAUUGUAUAAGUUUGAUCUAUUUGACAGAUCUCACUUGGCAUACUCGAAUAGUAUCGUCUUAUAUAAAAGAAGUGCAGGCCCGGAGCAGGGGGUGUAUCGAUGAUCGGGAGUGCGAAGUAAGUGGGGUUCUAUGGACCUAUAACCUACUCGGUUGACGGAGUGUCAGCUUGUGGAGGUACUGGAUCGAGCAUUGGCAAAACAAAUGGAAUAUAGCUCCUGAGAGCUUCCGUAUCCUUAUCAAAUGUGUUUUAUUGUUAGUUGUGAACUACUUGAAUGUUAUAGCUUUAAUUCUCGUAAAAGUGGUAUCGUUAUUUGAACUAUGUGUUUUGCAUGUUUUUCUUGGCCUCACUGAGCAUUAGUUCAUCCCAUUAGAUUUGUUUUCCUUAACAGGGGCCGAAAUGGAAAGAAUUAUGGAGAAGCCGACUUGAUGCACUUUUGAUUAGGGUUUUGAAUGUAAUUGAUUAGAUGACUUUUGAAAGUUGUAUAUUUGAGGAAAGUGAUGUACCUGGUAUCUUGUAAUGUAGGAAUUGAAUACUUAUUAAGGAAGCUACUUUUCUUUGUAGUUUCGACUCUUAUUAUUGAUUGUUAUCCAUAAGUUUGAGUUCGUCUUGUAGUGAGUCCUGGCGAGAGUUAGGCAAGCGUCCCGCCGAUACCUUUGGGUUCGCCCUUAGGAGAAGUGGGGGCGUCACAGUUUAUUAUUAGUCGAAAUGCAAGGUGCUAGGUUUGGAUAAUAUAAGAAGUUUUGUACGGAACUAGUUCUAGGCUUGACAAUGAUGUCUCACCUAAAGAGCUGCUAUUAUAAUUAAUUUCAUCCAUAUUCCACCUAAAUGCAGUGUUUCAAAGGUAACCCAUGGAACCAUAUAAUACAAAUUAAACCUUGUCAAAUCUCUUAGGCCUGCAAAUUAUGUUGAUUUAGUAGACCCAUUGAUAAUUACCUCCUCCUUGGUCACAUUAAAAAAAAAAAGCAAGUUUUAUCGCUUCGAAAUUUUAAAAUUGACUUAUGAUUAAGGGUCUAUCAGCUACUGUCUUCGAAAAUGGUUCAUCACCUGCACUUCAUAAUGUUAUCCAAAUUUUAGAUUAUCCUCAAAUAUUUAUUGAAAUUAUACUGGCCUUGCUACAUAGACGGAAGCAUAACAAUUACUUUGAUUAAAAAAAAUUGUAUAUAUAUAUAUAUAUAUAUAACUUUUUAUCAUUAAAUUUGAUAAAUUUUUUUGGAGGCAAAAGUUAACAUUUAUGCUUUCAAAUCUUUAAUGAGGGAAAACUAAUAUUUCUAGGCUUUAGAGAGUCGAUGACUAGAGGAAUGGCAAUGAGGUGGAUAUGAGGCUAGGAAACACUCACCCGUCUCCCUCCUUGUGCUUUAAAAAUUUCUUCUGGCUUUAGUGCUAUCCCCCCACUUCUCUUACCCCCACUCCCAUCCGUCUACCCAACCAGGGUGCCCUGAUGGGUGGUUCAGUUCAAAACAAAAUUUUAUUUUUUAUUUUGAUCUUAUGUUUUCAUAUAUAAUAUUAACAAAUACCUUUAUAAAUCAAUCUUUUGGACUUUUAACUAAUAUUCAACGUUACAUUAUGUUUAAAAUCUACUUUAAUCUUUUAAAAACAUUUCUCCGUAUUUGUUAGCAAAUCUAAACUAACAGCUGUUACUAUUAUUGUUACAAAAUUAUAAAUAAUAUAAUAUGUACAUAGAUAUUGGCAAAUAUAGCUGCAUAUUAAUUAAUUUAUUUAAUUUAUAGGCAAGGAUGGCGCGGGGAUGGUAGCCACGUGGUGGGGGGAGAAAAGUCCCCACCACCCCACUCCUGCCCCCACAGCUCUCUUCACUCCAUUUCUCUCCCCAAAGGAUGGGCAUCCAUUCCUAUCAUGACCACUCCCUACCUCUUAAUUCUCAUGCCAUUGGAUGGGCCAAUUUAGAGGGAAAGUGAAUAAAGUUGGUAUCUAUCUGCCCUAUGGUUUAAGUCGUUAUGGAAAGGAGGUGACCUCUUAAUUCUCAUGUCAUUUCCAGCUUUGAGUGAUGAAACCAGGAAGAUGAAAAUUCUAGACAAAUUGUCGUGUCUCAAUGAAUGAACUCGAAGAUGGAUCAUGCAACGGCGUGAUUCUUGGUAUGUUAUUGUCCAAUUAGCAAAUUUUGAAAAAUCAUUGAUGGUUGAAAGUCAAGUAACAAGAGGUUUAAAACUUUUCGGAUUCUUCUAUUCACGGAACAUAAUAAAAGAUAGGUGCACUCUUCAAUUAUGCAUGCCACCGUAUGUUUCAUUAAUCAACAUUAUUGUUUAUUAUUAAUCGAAUGCAACAUUCUAUAUUUGGAUUAUAAAAGAAGUUGUAUACGGAACUAGAUUAUAGGCUGACAAUGAUGUCUUAUCUAAUUAAAAAGGUGCUAUUCCAAUUAAUUUCAUCCAUAUUUCACCUACACGCACUGUUUUAAGGGUGGCCUAUGGUACCGAACUAGGUAUGUCAAUGGAUCGGAUUUUAUCCAAAUCAAAUCCAAACCCAGUAUAUCUGAGUAGGGUUUAGGUUUAAUUUAUUAACCCAGACCCUAACCAAAUCUAGAUCCCGCAAAAGAAUCAUGAAUUUGGGUGGAGUAUGGUUUUCUAUGAUUUAAAUCCAAAUUCAAAUCCAAAUUAGACCCUACAAAUACCCAUGCAAUGUUCUAUGUGUGUGUAUGUAUCAGUAAAUUCGGAAAAUAACCUAAUAUUCUAUGUCAUUAUAAUUAGUACAAACAUUUUCAAGAAAAAAUGAAAAAAUGAAAGCAAAUAAAUAAAAGAUUGAAUAUAGACACAGUUGAAACUUUGAAAACAAAUAGUUUUAGUUGAUAAUAAUUCUUUCUUUGAGUUCAUAAUAUUGUGUUCAACAUCAUGAAUGUUGAUUUUAUUAUUUCAAAAUAAAAAUUCGAUGAUAUUUAUGUUAUUUUUUAACUCUAUAUAUUUUCAAAAUAUUUUUACUUUGGUUCUUCAUUGUAUGUUCAAAAAAGUAUUCACGAAUACCCGUUGAAUACCUAAACCUAUGAGGGUUCGGGUUUGAGUUUACUUUUUCAAACCCAUAAGGGGUUGGGUAUGAGUUUGGGUCUAACUAAAUUUAAUAAGUAUGAAUGUAGAUCAAAGAGAUCUAAAUCAAACCCUAUCCAUUAAAAUACCUAUAAAAUACCUAUCCUAUACAAUAUAAGUUACACCUUGUCAAAUCCCUUGGGCCCACAAAUUAUGUUGACUUGGUAAACCCCUGGAUAAUUACCUCCAUUUUAUAUAUAUAUAAAAUAUCAUAGUUUUAUUAAAAUUUGCAUUAAUGAUAGAAAUUACAUCAUUAAACAUAUACAGAUAUCAAAAAACAGGAUAAUAUGGAGAGCUCUAUCGAAUAGAUCCAAAAAAUUCCAAAUCUGAUAAUCAAAAUCUAAAAAAACUCAACUUGGGCACAUGAAGAAAGCAAGUUUUGUCGUUCCAAACUUCAAAAUUGACUUUUAAGAGUCUACUAGCUAUUGUCCUUGAAAAUGGUUCAUCACCUUCACUUCAUGAUGUUUAUCCAAAUUUUAGAUUAUCCUUAAAUUUUUUAUUGAAAUUAUACAGGUCUUGCUAUGUUAUCUAUGUAGAAGGAAGCAUAACAAUUACUUUGAUCGAAAAACAGUAUAUACAAAUAACAUUUAAUUUUAUAAUAAUAUUUUAUAGAACUUUUUUUGGAGGUAGAAGUUAACAUUUACUUCAAAACUUAUGUGAGGGAAAACUAAAAUUUCUAGGUUUUAAAGAGUUGGUGACUAGGAAUGACAACGAGAUGGAUUUGGAAUUAGAGAACCCUCUCCCGUCUCCCCUCCUGUGCCCUAAACUAUUCCCCCUGCCCCCACCCCACUACCCAAUAAGGGUGCCCCAUUGGGUGGUUCAAAUUAAACUUCUAUUUUUCAUAAUUUUUCAUAUAUAAUAUCAACAAAUAACUGUAUAAAUCAAUCUUUUGAACUUUUAACUAAAAUUCAACAUGAAAUUAAGUUUAAAAUAUACUUUAAUCUUUUAAAAAUAUUUCUCCAUAUUUAUUAGCAUAACUAAAGUAAUAUCUGCUACUAUUAUUAUCUUAUUGCAAACAUGCAAUACACAAAAAAAAAAUUCAGUAAACUAAAAAUAACAAAAUCAUCAUUUUACCACACAAAUCAUGAUAUCAUGAGUUUUCAAAUUAUAAUGUAUAUGUCUGUAUGUGUAUGUGUGUAUGUCUAUAUAUAUAUAGAGGUGGGGAUAGUACCAAUACACAUCCCCACCACCCCUACUAUAUAUAAUAUGUACAUAGAUAUUGACAAAUAUUUACGUAUUAAUUAAUUUAUUUAAUUUAUAGGUGGGGAUAGUACUGAGACAAAUUCCCGCAACCCCUACUCCCACUCCGCAUUUCUCUCUGCCCCAUUUCUAUCCCUAUGGGGCGGGCAUACUUACCGAUCGUGACCCCUCUCCAUCUCUUAAUCCCCGUGCCAUUAGAAGGGCCAAUUUAGAAUGAAAGUGAAUAAAGUUGGCAUCUAUGGCGCCCUAUGGUUAGGUGACCUAUAGCAUCGAAUGGUUUCAUUUCUAGCUUUGAAUAAUGAAACCAUGAAGAUGAAGUCUCAAGGACCAAUUGUCGUGCCUCAGUCAAUCACCUCGAUGAUGGAUCACGCAACGGAGUGAUACUUGGUAUAUAAUUGUCUAAUCAGCAAAUCUUUGCAAAUCAUUGAUGGUUGAGAUGUUGUCAAGUAACAAGGUUUAAAACUUUAAGAAUUGUUCUACGGGAUAAUUGCAAAAACCUCCCCUGAAAUUUCUGACAUUUGCACUGACCUCCCCUAUCAAUUUUGAAAUUGUAUUAACCUCCCCUAGAAAAAGUUGGAACUAAUUUAAAAGGUAAAAGUGUAUGAAAUUACUAGAGUACCCCUAUUGGAUUUGACUUUACUGGAUGAAAGGUUUGAGUACUUUCAUCAAAACCAACGUUUAAUUUGUUAAACAAAUUAAACUAAUCAAACUAUUUCUGCAUAGUUAAAUUAAUUAACUAAUUAACUAAUUAACUAAUUUCUAUUUUAUCUAAUUAACUAAUUAACUAAUCAAACUAUUUCUCAUAGUUAAAAUAAUAACUAAUUAUCUAAUUGUUAACAGUUAUUAACUAGUCAAACUAUUUCUGCAUAGUUAAACUAAUUAACUAUUAACUAAUUAUUUAAUUAAUUAAUUAACUAAUUAACUAAUUUCUAUUUAUCUAAUUAACUAAUUAAAUAAUUAUCUAAUUAACUAAAGCUGUUGUCUGUCCGAAACUAACAAACUAUUUGCAUGUUAAACUAAUUAACUAAUUAACUACUUAACUAAUUAACUAACUAAUUAUCUAAUUAAUUAAUUAACUAAUUUUUGUUUAUCUAAUUAACUAAUUGUCUAAUUAUCUAAUUAACUAAAGCUGUUGUCUAUCCAAAACUAAUAAACUAUUUGCAUGUUAAACUAAUUAACUAAUUAACUGCUUAACUAAUUAACUAACUAAUUAUCUAAUUAAUUAAUUAACUAAUUAACUAAUUUCUAUUUAUCUAAUUUACUAAUUAUUUAAUUAACUAAUUAACUAAACUGUUGUUUGUCUGAAACUAACAAACUAUUUGCAUGUUAAACUAAUUAAGUAAUUAACUGCUUAACUAAUUAACAGACUAUUUGCAUGUUAAACUAUAUGCAGUACGCAUUACCUAUUUAAAGUAUCGGCUCUUUAUGGAUAUUUUACUUUCAAACAUUUAAUUUAUGAUAAAAAUAUCAAUAUUUGUAAGUAAAAUUCAAAAAUGCUACAAAAAAUAUCAAUAUUCUUACUUUCAAAUAUUUAAUUUAUGGCCCUAUGCCCCUCCCUUUUUGUAAGAAUAUUACUGUAACACUUUUUGAAUUUUACUUACAAACAUUGAUGUUUUUAUUAUAAAUUAAAUGUUUGAAAGUAAAAUACCCAUAAAGAGUCGAUACUUUAAAUAGGUAAUGCGUACUGCAUAUAGUUUAACAUGUAAAUAGUCUGUUAAUCAAUUAGUUAGUUAAUUAGUUAAUUAGUUAAGCAGUUAAUUAGUUUAACAUGCGAAUAGUUUGUUAGUUUCAGACAGACAACAGCUUUAGUUAAUUAGUAAAUUAGAUAAAUAGAAAUUAGUUAAUUAGUUAAUUAAUUAAUUCGAUAAUUAGUUAAUAGUUAAUAGUUAAUUAGAUAAUUAGUUAAUAGUUAAUUAGCUUAACUAUUAGAUAAUUAGUUAAGCAAUUGUCAAGCAAAUAAUAAUCGUCAAGCAAGAUGAGGGCAAAAUUGGAAGAAAAUUUUUAUCUCAUUUCUACAAAUAAUUUUUUAAUGGGACAUCAAGCUGUCAAGGAGGUUUCUGCAACGAAUUGUUACUGUUCAGGGGAGGUGAAUGCAAUUUCUAAACCUAGAGGGGAGGUCAGUGCAAAUGUCAGAAAUCUCAGGGGAGGUUUCUGCAAUUAUCCCUUGUUCUAUUCAGGACACACGAUAGAAGAUGGAUCUAUUUUUCACUUAUUUGAACAAGAUUUUAUAAUUCAAUAAAUAAAUAAUAAUAAUUGAAAUUUAUAGCGAGUCCAUCCUUUCUAUUUUAUAUGCUUUUUCUGGGCUAUACUUUUAAGGACAUAAUAGAAAAACCCAAAAUUUGAAUUUAAUACAAAGAGUACUUAUGGAAUAGCAAUAUAUUCAAAGAUUUAUAAUUAUGCCUAAAAUAAGUACUAGAGGUAAAAGGUAAAAUAGCAAAGAGUUUUUUUUUUUUUUUUUGGGUUCCCCUUAUCAACAUCUGGCAUAAGAGUGACUUCUAAUAUGUCGUUGAUAGCACAUACAAUUACUCAUCAUUCUCUUUCAUAUUUAAAAAUAGAUUAAUUUUCUAUACAUUAAUAAUGUAUACAGUAUUAAAUCUGAAUGCAUACUAUUUGUUUCAAAUUUUGAAUUUUAAAUUUAAAUUAAUAUUAAUUGUUAUGCAUUCGAAUCUAAUAGCAUACACAGUUUAUAAAGGAUUAAUUCUUAAACAAUUAUACAUAUUGUGAUGAAUGAAAGUUGGGGGAGGCGAUGAAGAGGGGGCACCAUAUCAACAGUGUACAUAAGUUUCAAAGAGAAAAAGCAUAGAGGGACUAAGACCCUAAAAGUCUUCGCUUUGGGUCCUCAUUGCGUCAAUGAAUGAUUUCCCAUCUAGUUCACGGGAAAAAAACGCUUUUAAAUAGUCAAUCGUACUAAUUCUUCUGAAAAUUGCUGGAUUUUCAGGGGGGGUAAGACUUGGCGCUGGACCCAUGUCACCAUCCACUUUUGGGAAAAAGAACGCUGCAAUGGAAAGCCUUUCAUUGUGCAAAUUCACAGUUGCCCGAUGCUCAACACUCUUGUAAAUCCCAUUUGUCACAAUCUGCAUCUCAGUUCAAAAACGUCACAUUGUUCCCAACUGUGUACUAUGUAGCAUACAUUCUUAUAAAAGUUCAAUUAGGCUCAAUAAUAGGAUAUGGUUAACAGGGUAAUCUUAUGAGUCCACCCAUAACUACUGUUAUGCCCCAAAAACACUGGAGAUAGAAUUCAUAAGCUAUACCCUGAUAGAUCCAGGACAUGAUUUGUAAGUAACUUGUGUAAUUAGCAUUGAAAUCAAGAAAAAAAGUAAAUUCCUUUCUGAAAAUCAAAACAAACUUGUUGGAAAAAAAAUUAGUACUUUUUUCAAGAUGUUGAAAGGAAAGCAAUUUGAAUUUCAUAUGCCACCACUUGUACAUCACAGGUAAGCAAUGAUUUGAAGGGUGGGGUGGAAGAGCAUGUACAAUACUAAUAUUUGAAUUUAUUGUGCCCAAGAUUUACAUUCUUCAGAAAUAUUUCUCGAAUAAUUAAGUAAUUAAUCAAUUACGUUGGUUACUAAUAUGAAUAAAACUACUUUUUCAAUAUAAAGACCUUUUCAUCCAUAUAUUUUAUGCUUUUUUUUUACUUUAUAAAGAUACGUGUUCCAUUAAAGUGCUCAAUAUUCUAUCAAUAAACAACAUUAGUUUAACUCUGACAAAGUAGCCAAAGUUAGAAGUUAGGCACAAAUUUGUCAAAAGUUAAAUUUUGGGAUGAAAGCCACACUUUGUCCUGGCCUCAUUUUCUAGGCGGUGCAAGUUGAUAAUUAGUCUUACAUCAACCUAGUGUGGGCAUACUAAUCAUAAUCGGAAAGAUCAACCUACUGUAGGCAUAAUAAUCAUAAUCGGAAAGAUUAUCUCUUGAAUCCUAUUAAAAUAUGGGAAGGACAUUCUAAUUUCCAUAUAUGUUCAUAAUUGUAGAAACCAAUUUGAAAAUAUCACAUAAGGGAGCCCAAAAACUAGAUAGAUGUUGUAAUUAUAUAAACAGAAAAGUAAUAUGAAGAGAUUGUUCAUACUCACAUUCCAUCUUUGGAGAAAGGAUUUUGAGCAUGAUUACCUCUAAAAUGUCUCCAACAUUGACUGUGAAUGCAUUAGGAAGUGGUACAACAGGAACCCAAGCUCCAGCCUUUUUGAUUUGGAGGCCUUCCACUUCGUUGACUUGAAGUAAUAUAGUAAGCCCAUCAGCAUCAGAGUGGGGGCAAAGGCCCAUCACUAGCUCAGGUUGGGGACAUGGAGGAUAAUAGUUCAUCCUCAUUGUUUGCAUCCCAUCUUCAAAAAGCAUUGUCAUAUCUUCAAGCUUCAUUCCUAAUGCUUUUGUCAUUUGCUCAAGGACCUUGAUGG
RNAcentral lists this long non-coding RNA (80641 nucleotides) under Coffea arabica (coffee). RNAcentral describes it as "long non-coding RNA (CARA_LNC006392)". The record is from RNAcentral. Lineage: Eukaryota; Viridiplantae; Streptophyta; Magnoliopsida; Gentianales; Rubiaceae.